RNAcentral lists this long non-coding RNA (54973 nucleotides) under Mytilus galloprovincialis (Mediterranean mussel). Lineage: Eukaryota; Metazoa; Mollusca; Bivalvia; Mytilida; Mytilidae. The record is from RNAcentral.
UAAUUAUCCACAAAGCACAUGCUGUAAUGUCAGAGUAGUAUACACAUGGAAAACCUUACCUAGAUGGAUUUAAUCACAUUAUUUUUGGUGUUUAUUCUUUGUUUUGUGGACUUUACUAUUCCCAAUAGGAACGAUGACAUGUGGGAAGCACUGUCGUGUAAGUACAACAUCAAUUGGAAUCUAAUUGGAUCAAUUAAAACUAUUAAAAACAAUCUAUUUACAUCAGGAAAUUUUAACUACUGUUUUGUGAUUCUGUCCCCAAUAAAAUGAAAAUAAAAUUCAGAAAAAAAGACAAUCAAAUCAUGACGAAAUGUUGUUUAUUAUUUGAAAAAAAAAACAUUUAAUCAAAGUCACUUAACUGAAACAGUCAGAUUUUAAUUUCCUUAAUUUUCCUCAUAAAAAAGAGGCUAAGUUGCCAAUAGGUAUUUUUUGGGGUAAAAAACAUGGUCAAGUUUUAAAUAUUGACAAAUACUUCUGAAUGUUUAUCAACAUUGUUAAUCAAAUAGUUAGAUCUAUUUACAUUUAAAUAUUUGUUUUACUUCAAAAGAGAGACAAAUUAAACUGAAAACUGUUCACUAUGACAGAGGUUAAAAAUUCAGAAGAUUGGAUAUAAUGGCAGGUGAUAUAAGGAUCUCAGUAAUAACUGAUAAUCGACAGAAAUAUAAAAGUAUAAUAUCCAUAUUUAGAAAAAUUACAAAUGAUUACCAUGGAAACCAUAAAUAUAAUAUUACACCUGUUAUUAUUUUGCAGACUAUUGAUUAAAUAUGUAUUUUAACGUUAUUCUAUUCCACAUAAGGACUGACGAGUCUCAAGAGUGCUGAUCAAACGUUUAGUUCCUUGGUAAUGUUUGGAUAGAACGGUUUAAAAUGACACUAUAACAUGACAAACCAAAAAAAUAGGUUCCCAAUUGAUUUACAGUUUUCUAGAUGCAAAUAGAAUAAAUUGAAGCAAUCUACAAUCUAAAAGUAAAUAUACUGUAGAAUAAUGACAGGGCUAAGGUUAACACAUUAAUGUUUUAAUUUGCAAAACUAAAGUCUGAAGGAAAUGUCUAUCAAAUUCUCCUUUAAACAUCAUGACUGUUUUGUCAUGUCAGUUGAAUGCAUAGUUCCACAUUAUGUCAUGUCAUAGCUUACUUUAUGAUAUGGGGUUUGCUUAUUGUUGACACAUUACAAAGACAGUAUAUGGUUACAUUUAGAGCUUUGAUACAUACUGGGUGAUCAUCAGACAUCUAGGUCUAAGAAUCUUUGGAGUUCCCUUAGUGUUCAGUAGUUUUGUUACCUUAAUUUUGGUUCCAUUUAAUGAGAUGUUUGUAGAUAUGUUUGCAGGCCUUUAAUAAAAUGUCAAAUACUUUGCAAUCUUUGAUACUCCAGUACUACUGGAUAUAAAUAAAUUCUCAGUACAAACCUGUCAGCCAUUCCCAUCUUCUCAUUUUCUGACCAGUGUCCAUUAAACUUACCUACAAUAGAAAAUAAUAACAAGGUUAAAAACAUAAAAUUAUGAUAAAUUUUAAUUCUAAGUCAUAAGCUGUCACAGGACUCAAUAAGCAACAUCAAUAUCUAAAUCUUAACACUUAGGGUUAGUUUAUUUCAUCAGGGUUUAAUCUUAGAUUGUCUCUAUUGACAGAAUAUCAAAAUAUGCUAUUUUGUUUUAAUAAAGUAUCAAUGAUAAAUUCAUAUGGAGUUUCAGCAGACACACACACACACACACAAAUAAGAAAAAAACUUGAAUUUACAAUCUGGAAUAUUUUUUUUUUAUCAAAAGGAAAAGAAAGGAUGUGGUUUAUUAAUUUAUUCAUAAAUCAAAUCACAAUGUUAAAUAAAUGAAAAUGACCAUUCUCUAAACAUAAAUUUUACAAAUGUAUACUAAUAAAAACAACAUAUGGUAAUGUCUCUCUCUUAUACCCAGUUGAUAUAAAUAAAAAGAUUGACUAUGUUAUUUAUAAUAAAAACACAUUUAGCAAGAGGUUUAUAUAGGUUCCUUAUAUUUCUAUUUAUCCAUUCAUUUUUUCAAAUUCAUUUUGGCUGCUGGAACUUUUGUCUCUGAGCAUUUUUAAUAAAGAAUGAAGGUAAAUUCAGAACAGUGCGAGAGUUUGAUUUCGUUUUUGAUUUUUAAAAGCUACCCUUUUGUCAUUCCUAAAAUAGCUAAUGGCAAAUUUUUUCCCUGAUUUUGCUAUCUUGAAAGAGUGAAACAUACCAAUUUUAAAUACCCAGCACCCUGCCGAUUAUCAACUUCAAACCCCACUAUAUACACCACACCAUGCCGAUUAUUGGUUUCAAACACGUCCAUAUGUAAAUAUGCUACUCAGGAAGUCAAAUUACAAGUAACAAGGGAAAAUUCAUCUACAUUCAUCCAUCAUAGCUAUAUAACCGAUGUCAUACUUUUAUUUGUUUUUCUCUCUAAAUUGAAUGAAAAAUCAAUGGCUAAAAUCAACCUAAUUAUAGUCAUACUGAAAAUAAAUCCACAUAACACAACCACCUGGUCCUAAAAAAUUAGCUUCCUGUUGGUUGUAAAUGUAUGAAUUUGUACGGUAAAAUUUCAAUUUAGCAUCCGGAGUGUAGCAUGAGUCUUGCUGUAGGACAUCGUACAACCUGAUCAUAUCCCAUGUAUUGUAUGGAGAAAAUAGAUUAAACUCUCAAUCGAUAAAUAAAUAGGAAAAUACUCGAAGAUCGUCGAUCAAUUUAGCGUUAACUUUAACGUUUGACUUGAUUAAAGGUAACAGCAUUAGGACUCUUCAUUUCCGUUUAACACACUGGUAUGGCUGACUUUAAUUGGGAACUGAGACUUCAAAACAUACUAAUCAAAAACCGUUGUAUGUCUUAGUCUUCUUAGAGUUUAAAUCAUACAAAGACAACGUAACACAAAACCAAUCUUUUUGUGAAAGCUUCCGUCAAAUCGAUGGGACUUUCUUUGCUUUUGUUUUUUGUUCUUUUGUUCUUGAUGAAUUUGCAUGUAUAAAUCUAUAUACAACUUGCUUGACAAUAAAACCAAUUUAUUAUUUUUAUUCCAAUCUAAUAUCAAAUGCAUGAAAAGUGUAUAAAAAGUUUUUCGGUUUCUUUUCCAAAUAUAAAAAUUUACCAUUAAGAAUGAGUAUGCAUGGAAAACUUUAAAUGAAUUAUACUCAGAUCUACAAGCAAUUCACUUUCUAUAAAUCACCAUGAACGUAUAACAGGGAAACUUUAAAACUGUGAUUUUAACUCCCCACAUUCCUUAUUUGUCUAUCCUAAGUUAGGAGCCUGCAGUUCAGGUGGUCAGUUGUUAGUUCAUGUCUUUCAUAUUUUUUUUUCAUAACACUAUUUGUUAUAAAUCAGGCUGUAAGUUUUAUCAAUUGAACUGUUUUCGCAUUUAAAAUGACAGGAUAUUUUGAAGCAAACUAUACAGUACCAGGGGUGGAUCCAGCCAUUAUAAAAAGGGGGGUUCAACUACAUGUCCCCAUUCAAAUGCAUUGAUUGUCCCAAAAAAAGGGGGUUCCAACCCCCGUAACCCUCCCCCCUCCGCCCCCACACCCCACCCCAUCCCUGGAUCCAAGCCUGAGUACAGGUUUUUAGCAUUGUAGAAGACUGUACAAUGUAACCUGUAAUUGCUAAUAUCCACUUCAUUUGAACUUUGUGUAUAUUUGUCUCACCGGCAAUCCUACCACAUCACUUUAUUUUUAUGUCUAAUACUUGUAAUUAUUUGUAACUGUGCCUAUACCAAUAAGCAAAAUUUUGCAAUAUCAUAUAAACAUCUUGCUGAAAUAACAUUUAGUUCAAUUGCCAACUGUGCCAAUAUUAUAAAAAGUUCACAGAUUUCAAAAUUAACUGAUUCAGAAAAUAUUUUUUUUUAAAUUUUUACCAAAAUAGCUGUUUUUUGCUUGGUGUGUAAAAAUUCUGUCGUGUCAUAUAAAGUUUCCAUUUUUUUUUAAAUAUCUGUUGGUUAAAUUAGCUUUGUUAGAAGAACUCACACAGGAACAAACAUCGUCAGUACAUAUACCUAUAUAUCAGUUAAGAUAGGCAAAGUUAUCAUAGGGGAUUCAGGAAAAAAAUUGGGAGAUUUCGUUUUAUGUUAUAAAAAUACAAUAAAUGUUCUGGUUAUUACCAAUGUUAAACUAGACCACACAAACAGUUACAUCUUAAUGAUAAUUUGUUCUAAUUUUUAUAGAACUUUAUCAUGAUCUUUAAAUGAUAAUUUGCUAUUUUUUUAUAGAACUUUAUUGUGACUUUUAAUUCACAAAAAGACAAAACGUGCAAAACGCCAGACACGAUUAAUCUUUAAUAAUUAGUUAUAAGUUUUGUAAGUAUUUAAAUAAAUUAAAAGAGAAGGAAAAUGUCAGCCGUCAUCACUAAAAAGUUAAUUUCAUAUGAAAUGAUCUUUUAAUAUUUUAAUAAAGUAAGCACAGAUGGAUCCAGGAGGGCCCUGCCCCCUACUUUUGUGGAAAAAAAUUGGUUGAUUAUUUAGCGAAUCACAGAAGUCAUUCAGUAAAUUAUGUAAAAAAUAUUCUCAGGUCAAAUUUCUUCACAAAAACACUUUUACUAGUAAAAUAUGAAUAUUAGGAGAAUUAAGAAGGUAUAUAGAUUUGAUCCAGUAGAGCUAAGUUACUGAUGUAUCAGAAACAGGUGCCCCCUCAGAUUACUGUAACAACAAAUUCAAUCAUCUGACUUUUUACAGUCUACUGAUUCCUAUAAACAAAUUAUUACAAUAGAUAUCCAUAUAGACAUGAUAGAAGUAUAGAUUCAUUUGAUUCUCAGACUCAACAAUAUUUAGUUUCAGUUUGAUAGCACUUUUAGAAAAUGGAUACUUUUAUACUUAAAAUAACAGGUCUGUAUAUGAAAUAAAGUAAUAUAUUAUCGGAGUUCUAAGUAAUUUCAACAAAUUUUUGAAAGAGGGAUGAAUAUUAAAAUUUGAAAUACUCAAUUUUCAAGACUUAUCCCCCCUAAUAAAUUAAAUAUAACAUAUUCAUGAAUCAAGUAUAUAUUUACAUUGACUUAACCAACAACACAUUUUACAAUUAAAAGCAGUUGUAAAAUAAAUAAUAAUUGUCAUGACAUCAGUACAUGCAACCACUUACAUAGAUAAAAGAAAAUUAUGUUUUAUAUUAGCCAUGAAAAUACUAAGAAUCUGUAUAUGUUUGUUAUCAGUGAUAAGAAGUAGUAUUUGAUGUGAUACUGGAGUGACUUAAGUAUUUCUAUAGUACUUAUCUAUCUCUGUUAAUAAUAUUCACUAAUCAAAUUAGACAAUUAUAAUCAAUUAUUAAAAUAUAUUCCUUGUUUAAUGGUUUUCUAUUGUCAAGCAAGUGAAUAAAUCUACUCAUUUAAAUUUAAUUUAAAAGGGGCACCUGCUAUCCUGUUAUUCAAUUAUAUAUACUUUAUAUAUCUUGUUGGUUUUAAAGAUUUUUAGAGUGUGUUUUAUUACAGUCAAAUGAAUGAACUAAAAGCUGUAUAUUCAGUUCCAUUUGGUGAAGUGCUGAUUGAAGCAAUGUUAAUAUAGUAAUUAAGUAUAUAGUGCACUUAAAAGUCUUUAAGAACAAUAUUCAAAACUACACUCAAAUUUCCUUCCUAAAAUUUUGUGAUUUAACAGAAAAGAGGAAUAACAAAGCUGAAUGUUUGUUUAUCCCUCCCCUUAAUCAAUAUUUCUAUACAUUACAAUCACACCCAAUAAUUCUCAUUUAAUUGUGUAAACCUUCAUAAAUAAUCUGGGUAAAAUGACAUAAAGAUUGUGUAUAAAUAAUGUAACCUUACUUUGUAUUCCUUGAUUAUGUAAGGAUAAAUACAGCUGGAUGGUAAAAUGAGGAUAUAAUCAAAUUGUGUAAAGUUUUGAUAGAAAAAGCAGGUUCUAUCUCAGUGACUACCAGAUUCAUUUAUUUUCUUAAGGAGAAUUUAGCCCAGAUGUUUGUAAUAAAACUUUAUCUAAUGGCUAUGACAUCAGUGAGUGUCCUUAGUUAGCCCACAUGCCUCUAAAAAUAAGAAAACAAACAGAUCUUAACUAUGUAAAACCAAACACACCUCAAUUCUUAAACAAUUGUCUUUUGUCUAAUUGAAUGUUUUUAUAUUUACAUUUUUUUAUAGAUAAACAUAAACAAUUUUUUUUGAACUCAUUGUGAAAGUGUCAAUGUACAAGUUUGUUUGCAUUUGUAGCAAAUUAAAAUAUGCACUGCAAAAUUACUAUCCAAUCAUUGUAUAAAUCAAAAUUUCCUAGACACAAAUAUAUUUAAAUGUAAUAUUACAUAAACCAUUUUCAGAUUACAUAUUUCUAAUAGGUGUUAAAUGAAGUUCAUCUCAAGUACAGACGUUAAGAACAUUACUAAGGAAUGAAAUACAAUGGCAUUAUUAAGUUGGAUCUACUCAUAUCUUUACAAUCAUGUUAAAGUCUGUCUUAGAGAUAUGUGUGUGGUAUUAGGUUACAUUUUAGUUAUCUUAACCUUUGAUAUGGUUUAGUGUCAUAUAUCAUGGCGAAGAACACACACCAUAACUAUUUUUACUUGCACUUAAUUUUUUAUAUUUGGACCAAGUGCCUUUGUAUUAUACGGAUCCACCAUUUUCUAUAAAAUAUCUUUCUUAAAGGGCUAUAAUUAUUACUAGUAAUUAUAUAUAUAUAUAGAGCCAAACUGACCGAGCCGAAAAAAUAAUAUCUUAAAAUUUGGGAUUUAUUCAUGUUUUUUUGAGACAUAGAUAUUUAGAGGUCUAACUUUAAACACUUCCUAACAAACAUCAAGGAAUAGGGACACUUAAUUAGGAUUAUUGGUGACAAGCACAUAUUACAGUACUUGGCCUCAGAGGAUUAUAUAAAGAUCUAUAGUCCAAAAAUAACCCAGACACGAAACCUGCAGAAAUAAAGAUAGGAAAUCUGUAUGACCUCCUUUACAAAUUCAAUAGAAUAAUGACUGCAUCAUACUUUUACACAUCUAACAAAAAAAUGAUAUUUUUAUCUCCAUGUCAAGUCUAAAUGAAAAAAUAUGGAAUCUGAACGUAAUUAAUAUCUGUCUGGAGAACAAAGAGAAGACCUUCAGUCCCUUGUUGUCCGUCUAAAUGGAUUAGAAAUUCAUUUCAGUUCAUACAAAUACAUUGAGAGAAUUAUCUGAAUAAAAAAAUAAUUUUUGUUCACACGUCGCGACGAUUCUGUGAAAACUAUUGGAAUCUCCUGACAAUUAGGACUUGGAAAUUUACACAGAUAUCCUACACUGCACCAUUACCACUGGGUAACUAGAGACGUCGACACUUAGCAUGCGUUAAUGGUCCAUUGUGUCACUAGAAGUAACGCCAAACUCAGUGGUUUUAAUACAGCCUUAUUAUUAUGUAUUUUUAGACUUCUUAUGUCAACAUUGUAAUAUCUGAUCCACAUUUUUACAUCAAGAGUACAGGUCAUGACUUUAAAACAAAUUGUUUUAUACAAUAGUAUCAAGUUUACAGCACUAUGCUACAUUCUGUGGGAAAUUCUAUGGAAAAUUGCAACAUGAAACAUGAAGUACACUCGCGGGUGUUUUAACGGUGACAUUUCCCAGGGUGGAGCUUCUCAAUAAAUAAAGCUGCCUUUAAAAAAAGAGUGCAGAUUUCACAUUAUUGGGUGCACUGUAUUGAUAUAAUAACAAAGUACUCAUUAUAUUUGUAAAUUUACAAGUUUUAUACUUUAGAUAAAAAUCUAAAUAUUUUCUGCAUAAGACAACAGUGAAAUACAUUGUAACCAAAAGUGAUUUGCAUUUUAAGUUUAAUCUUUAUUUUUAAAGAAAUAGAACAAUUGCUACAGAAAUACAUUCUAAUGAAAACUUGUAAUAUCCUGAAUCAAGCCUCCCAACAAUCAUCUAUGUGUUUUAAUUCAUUCCGUUAUCUUCCUGUUAUUGUUCUAUAUAACCUUCCGACUGAUUCUAUCCGCUGAUUGUCUACAGUGAUCUAUGCUACAAUCAACUUCAGUUUCUGUGACUACUGACAAUUAAGAGAAAUCUCCCAUCAUUCCAAACUUUACUUCGGGAAGAACUUGGUAAAUGUAACAGGGCUCAAUGAUUGAUCAUAUAUAUGAGUUCUGUAAAAUAUAAAUCAAGUAACGGGGGAUCCAAGUACAAGUAUAGUAUAGUUUGGGAGGGGGAGGGAUACUAGAUGUUUAAAAAUUCUGAAAUACUUAUCUGGAUACUAUUAUUGUUGUCCUAUACAUCUUAUUGAUUCAUUUCAUUGUUGAACUGAAAAAGGUUUUGUUGUGUUCUUUUGGUAUCUGUAAUUCUUAUAUACAGAAGCUGUCCAUUAAUUGUUGAGAUAGUAUGUCUUAUGUGUUGUUAGGCUGUGUCCAUUAAUAGUUGAGAUAGUAUGUCUUUUGUGUUGUUAGGUUGUGUCCAUUAAUUGUUGAGAUAGUAUGUCUUAUGUGUUGUUAGGUUGUGUCCAUUAAUUGUUGAGAUAGUAUGUCUUUUGUGUUGUUAGGUUGUGUCCAUUAAUUGUUGAGAUAGUAUGUCUUAAUUGUUGAGAUAGUAUGUCUUAUGUGUUGUUAGUUGUGUCCAUUAAUUGUUGAGAUAGUAUGUCUUAUGUGUUGUUUAGGUUGUGUCCAUUAAUUGUUGAGAUAGUAUGUCUUUUGUGUUGUUAGGUUGUGUCCAUUAAUUGUUGAGAUAGUAUGUCUUUUGUGUUGUUAGGUUGUGUCCAUUAAUUGUUGAGAUAGUAUGUCUUAUGUGUUGUUAGGUUGUGUCCAUUAAUUGUUGAGAUAGUAUGUCUUAUGUGUUGUUAGGUUGUGUCCAUUAAUUGUUGAGAUAGUAUGUCUUAUGUGUUGUUAGGUUGUGUCCAUUAAUUGUUGAGAUAGUAUGUCUUAUUGUUGUUAGGUUGUGUCCAUUAAUUGUUGAGAUAGUAUGUCUUAUGUGUUGUUAGGUUGUGUCCAUUAAUUGUUGAGAUAGUAUGUCUUAUGUGUUGUUAGGUUGUGUCCAUUAAUUGUUGAGAUAGUAUGUCUUUUGUGUUGUUAGGUUGUGUCCAUUAAUUGUUGAGAUAGUAUGUCUUUUGUUGUUGUUAGGUUGUGUCCAUUAAUUGUUGAGAUAGUAUGUCUUUUGUGUUGUUAGGUUGUGUUGUGUCCAUUAAUUGUUGAGAUAGUAUGUCUUAUUGUGUUGUUAGGUUGUGUCCAUUAAUUGUUGAGAUAGUUGAGAUAUGUCUUAUUGUGUUGUUAGAUUGUGUCCAUUAAUUGUUGAGAUAGUAUGUCUUAUUGUGUGUUGUUAGGUUGUGUCCAUUAAUUGUUGAGAUAGUAUGUCUUUUGUGUUGUUAGGUUGUGUCCAUUAAUUGUUGAGAUAGUAUGUCUUUUGUGUUGUUAGGUUGUGUCCAUUAAUUGUUGAGAUAGUAUGUCUUUUGUGUUGUUAGGUUGUCUUUUGUCCAUUAAUUGUUGAGAUAGUAUGUCUUAUGUGUUGUUAGGUUGUGUCCAUUAAUUGUUGAGAUAGUAUGUCUUAUGUGUUGUUAGUUGUGUUCCAUUAAUUGUUGAGAUAGUAUGUCUUAUGUGUUGUUAGGUUGUGUCCAUUAAUUGUUGAAUAGUAUGUCUUUUGUGUUGUUAGGUUGUGUCAUUAAUUGUUGAGAUAGUAUGUCUUUGUUUGUUAGGUUGUGUCCAUUAAUUGUUGAGAUAGUAUGUCUUAUUGUGUUGUUAGGUUGUGUCCAUUAAUUGUUGAGAUAGUAUGUCUUUUGUGUUGUUAGGUUGUGUCUUUUGUGUUGUUCAUUAAUUGUUGAGAUAGUAUGUCUUAUUGUGUUGUUAGGUUUGUGUCCAUUAAUUGUUGAGAUAGUAUGUCUUAUGUGUUGUUAGGUGUUGUGUCCAUUAAUUGUUGAGAUAGUAUGUCUUAUGUGUUGUUAGGUUGUGUCCAUUAAUUGUUGAGAUAGUAUGUCUUAUGUGUUGUUAGGUUGUGUCCAUUAAUUGUUGAGAUAGUAUGUCUUUUGUGUUGUUAGGUUGUGUCCAUUAAUUGUUGAGAUAGUAUGUCUUAUGUGUUGUUAGGUUGUGUCCAUUAAUUGUUGAGAUAGUAUGUCUUUUGUGUUGUUAGGUUGUGUCCAUUAAUUGUUGAGAUAGUAUGUCUUAUGUGUUGUUGGUUGUGUCCAUAAUUGUUGAGAUAGUAUGUCUUUUGUGUUGUUAGGUUGUGUCCAUUAAUUGUUGAUAUAUGUCUUAUGGUGUUGUUAGGUUGUGUCCAUUAAAUUGUUGAGAUAGUAUGUCUUAUUGUGUUGUUAGGUUGUGUCCAUUAAUUGUUGAGAUAGUAUGUCUUAUGUGUUGUUAGUUGUGUCCAUUAAUUGUUGAGAUAGUAUGUCUUAUGUGUUGUUAGGUUGUGUCCAUUAAUUGUUGAGAUAGUAUGUCUUAUUGUGUUGUUAGAUAGUUGUGUCCAUUAAUUGUUGAGAUAGUAUGUCUUUUGUGUUGUUAGGUUGUGUCCAUUAAUUGUUGAGAUAGUAUGUCUUAUUGUGUUGUUAGGUUGUGUCCAUUAAUUGUUGAGAUAGUAUGGUCUUAUGUGUUGUUAGGUUGUGUCCAUUAAUUGUUGAGAUAGUAUGUCUUAUGUGUUGUUAGGUUGCUGUCUCACAUAUCCUUUAUUGUUAUGCAAAGAUUUCAAUAUGGCAGCCCAUGGAAUAAACUGUGAUAUAGUUUUGUUGGGUAUCUAUAAUGACUUGUACUGGUAUUGUAACCAGUUCUAUUGAUGAGUUGUUGCACAGGAACACCCUGCCUACAGCAGGAAAUACAAACAAAGAAAGCAGUCAUUAUUUUACUUGAUAUUCUACUGAGCUACAAGCGUAACCCUUCCCAUAAUAUCAAGAAUGGUCAGUCGAUCUUCUAUUUAUCAAUACUUAGUUUAUUUCCUUGGCGGGAAAUAGCGGAGACAGCCUGAUGGUCAUUUGACUUAUUAUUUUGUGAUUAAAUUGUGUGUUUGUGCCAAACUUCCUUUACUGAAAACAGCGACCCAGGUGAUACACUCUCCGUUCUAAUCACUGAGGAAAUAAUUACUUUCCUUUUCUUCAGUCAAUUUAUAGAUUUACAGUAAGGAAGAAAUAAGUUUUAAUUAGAGAGAAAGAUGACAGACACAUGAUGGUUCUACCUCCAGGUCGGAGAAAUAAAUUUCCAGUGGCAAUUUUACAUCCGAUCUGUUGAUGUUUUUGCUUUUUUUUCUUCGCUGCAUAUAGAACGUACACGCUAUCUCAUGACAUUAGUUGCUAUUUUGGGAAUUGUUUUGACAGAAGAAUUCAAUGAAAUAAAAAGUUUUUGUUGCCUGAAUUGUGUGUGACAUUGCAUGUUAUCCAGCAAUGUAAAAUAAGAUGUUGUAUAUUGGGAUAAAACUAUUGGUAACAAAGUGCUACAUAGCUGAUAACAUGAAUGGAUUGAUAUGUUUAAUGCUAAUAAUAAUCUUUCUCAAGUAUCGUAAAAUUAAAUCCUAUACAUGUCCUCAUAAGCAUAAAAUAAAAUAACAAUUUUUUUCAACUGCAAUAUCCUUGGUAACGUCCUUGGUAACUGCAUAUCAAAGUGCAUGGAGAUAUUUUCAUCAUUUCAAAUAUUCAAUAUGACACGGAUAAAUUACACUGAAAAAAGAGACCAUUUAAAGGAUAAUAAGAGAAUUUUUAAACUCUGCUAGUAUCAGACCUAUCUAUUCCAAACUGCCACUCAAGUAAUAAAAUACAAAAGUCAAUAAUUAAUAUUUAUGUUUUCAGUCUGUUUAAUUCAAAAGUAGGGCGGAAUGUGACUUAAGCAGCUGGUUCCCUGUUGUUUAAUAUCCAUUUUGGUACUAAGCCUCGGUCAAUUACCGGAAGCCGAAGACGCCAACGGAUAACUUUUUUUCAAUCCGUUCAUGUCGUAACGUCCGUUCUUAUCCGUUAGGCGUCCGUCCAAAUCCGUUGCAUUCCGUUAAGCGUUUUUAUCCGUUGAGUCCGUUCUCCGGUGGAAAAUUUUGAGCAUGAUUUGAACGACUCCAACGAUAAAAUGUCCGUUGAACGUCCGUUAGGCGUCGUUAGGCUCCGUUUUGUACGGUACUCGUCCGUUUUGUAUCCGUUACGUGUCGUUAUGCAUCCGUUGGAGAAGACCAAAUCACAACGGACGUCUACCGGAACGCCUAACGACGCCUAACGGAUAAAACGGAUGUGAAACGGACAUUAACGAAGGAUAACGAUAAAACGGAUGCCUACCGGAUGUAAAACGGACAAAUGCCAAUUGAAAUUUCGCGUUAGAAAUGCCAAUAAUUGGUAUGUCAGAUUUUCUUGAGUGUCAUGAAUAUUUAUUAUUCGUGAUGGACUUGGAGUAAGAGCACGUCUUCGCUACCAAAGCUCUAUUCAGGCCAGACUCACCUAAUGUAGCAAAUAUAAACCUUAUAGUGUCGAAAGGAGAAGAAGGAAAGACAAAGGAGAUUGGACACGACAUGGCUUAGUCAAAGACGACAGUUUUGGAUGAAAUCAUGACCGAACUAUGGGAGGAUCCAGUCCUUUGUACACUCCUUCGAAUGCCCAAGAGAUGUUCGACGAGAUAUUGCAAGUUGGACCUCGCUAGCCAACAGAAUCCUUUUACAGAAAUCCACUGGAACCAGGACUCAGUUAGCAAUACACUAGACACCUCUACUGGAGCAAAAUAUCGUAGCAUGCAGUACGGAUGAAGAGUUCCGUAUAACACAUUAUCCGUUUUCAUACCAGAGGUACAUAAUAUAAACAAAUUCAGAAAAUCAACUUAAACUCUAUAAGACUGAAUUACCACACUGCUUCUACCUUGAUUUUUUUUUAAUCAGAGUAGCUCUAUAUUUGCACACAUAUCAUGCUAAACAAGACGCAAUACAAAAUAAAAUCAACUAAACCUGUUCUAAAGUGACCCUCGAAAAACGUAAAAAAGAAUCGGAUAAAUUGUUCAUUUGUUUGGUACGUGGAUUGAACCUGUCCUACUGACCACACUUCCAGAACAAAUAUUAACAAAUAUACAUGAGAUACAAUCAUUUAAGUCACGUGUAUUGGUUUAUGCCAUUAAUUUCAGAUGGUUUAUUGCUUUUAAUUUUCAGAUGGUUAUUGCCUUAAAUUUUUAGAUGGUAUUGCCUUUAAAUUUUCAGAUUAUUUUGUUCAUCCGUUUAUCCGUUACGCUUCCGUUAUGUCCUUUAUCCGGUAUCGUCCUUGGAGUACGUUCGACGUCCGUUCUGUCGGUACGUAUCCGUUUUCAUGUACCGUUCAAUGUCGUUGUGGUCCGUUAGAUUCUUACAUGAAAUUGUAAACCAACGGACUCCCAACGAUUUUUGUCAACGGAUAACUUUUUUUUUAUCCGUUAGGCGUCCGUUCGAGCUAUCCGGUAAGGUGUGACCGAGGCUUAAGGAAUCAAAAGAGGACCCAACAUUUUUUGUUGUUACAAGUUAACUGAUUAGAUGUCAAAAGCAAAUGUCCAAGAAGACAACUGUAUAUAAAUGUUCUGAUUAAGACAAUAAAGCGUGUAAUCUAUUUUCUGCAACGUUACCGUCCUUAAUCAGGCAUACACGUCUUUACAAUGGAUGAAAUAGUAUCCUUGUUCCUAGACACUAUUCUAAAUCAAUUUGACCUAAUCUACCUCAGAAAAAGUCUGAUGUUAUCUCCCGUCUUAACGUCAGUAUGAUGACAAAAAAUGGACAAAUAAAGAGCUACGAUUAAUCAAAACUAUUUCUUAGAGAGUCGUGGAUGAAUUUAUGAAUUCUCAAAUAGAUAGAAAAUGAUCUUCAUCUCCUUGAAAGGUAAAAGUUUAAUAGCUUUGUUUCAGAAAUAGUUUACGAUAUCUGGCCAAUAAAGAUCCUCUAUCGGACAACGUAAGAUAUGUUUAUGAAGGUUUAAAGAUGAACAUGUAUCAAUAUGUUCUAAAAAUCUUCAAAAUUACAAUACGUACUGAUCAUUCCGUGGAGGGAAAUGAGAAAAUAAAGAGAAACCAUUAAUUGAAAAGUUUGUUUUUGACAUAUAAGAAAUUGGUUAAGAUAGAUAGGCGUAAGAUUUUGAUUACAUCACAACCUAAGGCUUAAUGCAAUAUUUUCCAAAUCAUUUUUGAAAUGUAACUUUUCAAAAGGUUCUGAUUUUGAUGUUAGCAUCAAUCAAACCAUGUUAUAAUUUUCAUUAAUUUCCCUCCUUGACCAAUAACGUAUAGAUACAAUAAAACUGAUUUAUUGUUCAGCAAGUAUGCAACCAUAUAAAACAUUAAAAAGCUCAUGUUAUAGCUUCAUUAGAUAUUAUGAAUAUAACAAUUUGUUUCCAGAUAUUAAAUAUAAUUUGUACUGGUUACUCCGUCUUUUCAAUGACAAAUGGCGGGGGAAACAUUCAAUAUUAUUUUGAAUUCUUCAGUUUAUCCUGUAUUAAUGUGAAGAAGAGUUAAUUAAUAUUUAUGGUUGAAAAUGCUACAUGUACCAAUAAACCUAUAUACCUUUACCUUUUGAAAGUAUAACAGGGACAUGUAUGAUCAUAAACAGGUCAACAAUUAUAAUAAAGAUGUUUUCUCAUUUAUCAUCAAUCAAUGCAACUUUUAAUAAAUAAAUAAAAAUUGUAAAAUUUGAUAUCCAGUUUAUUUUUUCAAAUAAUUUUAAAAAGGAUAUCAAAUUCUUCCAAUAAUGAUUCAAUUGCAUGUCUGGUCUUAAAUGUUCUGCAGAACAAAAUGUUAUAGAUCUAUUUGAGUUUUGGGCUAUUGAGGGUUUUUUCUCGGUUUUUUUUCCUCGGUUUGUUCCUCCCUUUUUGGAAUUUGCAUUUUAUUUAUUUGGCUCUUAUCUUCCUUUGUCUAGACCUCAAGUACUAAAAGAAUUAUUUCUAGUGUAUUCCAAUUAGCCAACGAUUACAUCAACCUGUUGAUUAACAAUUACAAAGUUCUUUAAUCAACCAAUCAGAAAGAUGUGCAUCAGUUAUUGACAAAUCUUAUCAAUUCUGGAUUUUUCAAAACCCUUUUAUCAGUUCAGGAUAGAAAUCAGAUAUAUAAAUAGAGGAGAAAGUUUAAACAAAAGUAAGUUGUUCAACUAAGCAAAAAAACUGCAAGAUUAGAAGUGAAUGAAUAGCUUAUGUCAAAUACAAUGGACUUGAAUGCCAAUAACACUGUUAUAGAUUGGUCUGGAUUAAAACAUAUACAAUAAAUUACAUAACAUUAGACUGUUGGUAUAAGUAUAUUAUAUAUCAAAGGGAGGAAACUUGUAAUAAAAGUCAAUGUUCUUUAAUUUACAUUGCAAAAUUCAUAUGUUUAUUCAAGUGAAACAAAUUAAGAACAUAUAUAUUACUUCAUUAUGUAAACUGUUAUGAAAUAAAAUCAUAAAUGACUCUGUUAUUCUAACAGUUUAUGUAUAUAUAUUGCAAAUUACUUAAAUAUUUAUUUUAUUCAAUGGAGCAAAACUUAAAUAUAUGGGGAAAUUCAAAUUUCAAAACAUCAGCUCACAUAAUUUGAACUUUAUUAUUUAUGACAAACAUAGCAUUUGAAAAUGAAAAAAAAAGAUGAAAAUUGGAAAACUAAUGCAUAAGGCAACAUGUUCAGUACUGAACAGUUUAAUGUUGUGUCUGCCAGAAUUUUUUUUUUUAUUUUACCAUUCAUUAAAUUUGAAAUAAGUGUUCGUCUCAACUUAUCUCUACAGUAAGCUAGCAAAAAACUAUUGAAUUUGACAUAAGCACUUGACAUAGCCAUUAAUUUCAAUUUAAUAACAAGCACCUGUUCAGAGAUGAUUGAUGGGAGCUAACUCUGUAUAAAGUAUGAUCAUGUGAUCAGUGUAGAUACAUAUGUUGAUAAUCCUUUUGUACUUAGAAUCUUUGUUCUAUCUUGUUUAUCUAUUUGUCAAUCUGUCUAUCUAGAAUAAAAUUUAUGUUCUUAGAAUAAUGAUGAGAGACAUCUUGUAUUAUACUUUUUGUCUUGUAAUUAUCACUUAAGAUUCUUCACGAUUUUUACAGGUCAACAAGUCACCCAAAACACUCGGUCUUUUCAAACCUUUAUUAAAUGGGUUAUAUAAUUUCUAGGUCUUCCUUAAGGAAUCAGGUAGAUACAAGAUCUAUCUUGAUAUGGACGUCUCCUCUGCUCAUUGUUGAGGACACCGAGUGACAAAAGACUGAGAAUGUUAAAGAUAUCUUUUUAAAGUCUGUGUUGUAAUAUGUUUAUACCAACUCAUUAGCUAAUCUGCCUGUCAAUCUUAUUUAUCUGUUAUACAAUCUGUCUAUCUCAGUUAUUAAUCAAGAUCAAGAUUAAGAUAAAAUUAUUAAAUAUCAGUUAUUUAUUUGCAUGAAAUAAAUUACCUUUUAAUUCAAUUAUCAACUGCCCAUAUCUAACAUGACUAAGGAAAUGUUUGGGGGUUUUGUAAACAAGACAAGAGAGAAGAGGUUAUUUAGUCAGUUAUUAUACUUAGGUUUAAUGUCUUCUAUUGUCUUUCUUUGAAUUGAAUGAGAUAGUCUUAUUGUCUGAUAUGUUUACUUCUAGGUAUCGCAGUAGGAGUUCAUUUGUGGGAUUAUAAUUUUCAGGGUGACACUACCAGGAAAAUAGGUUGUUGCUCCUUAAAAUUGGUCAGAGAAAAAUAAAUAGAAUUAAAAAAUCUUGCAAGUCAAAUAGAGUUCAAUGUUAUAUGAUUGUUUUAUUGGACUAAUUAGGACGACUGUCUGCCAAUCAUAUUACUGGACAGAGGUUAUAUCUGGGUCAGAUCUAUUAUAUUAUAUCAAAUCAUUAUACAAAAUAAACAAAUAGAAAUGAUAGGUCUGUACAAUAAGUAAGCUAUUAACAUAUCUUCUUCAGAAAGCUGAAGAGAAUGUUUCAAUACAUCUAAACAGGUUCAUAAAUCAGUAGGUUUUAUACACCAUUCAGUGCUCAGAUGUGUUUGGGCCAAAACUUUUAAGGUGAAGUUAAUAAGGAUGCGCUUGAUAUGUGAUUUUGAAAGUGAUAAGCAACCAAAAAAAAAUCAUGUCUAUCUGUAAACCAUAAUAGACUUAGUUUCUUCAGAUGAAGUAAAUAAUGGGUCAUUUAAUUAUUCAUUUCAAAUAUUAUGAAGACUGUUGCUAAAAUGCUCAAAGGUGUGGGUUAUGUAUCUUACUACUUUGAGCCUCUGUGUGGUUACAUCAGGUUCAAAGGUGUGGGUUAUGUAUCUUUCUACUUUGAGCCACUGUGUGGUUACAUCAGGUUCAAAGGUGUGGGUUAUGUAUCUUACUACUUUGAGCCACUGUGUGGUUACAUCAGGUUCAAAGCUAAUCUUUACCCUUUCCAGUUGUAUUGGGCAUUCGAGAUCUUUAUUCUUUUAUUGAAAACAUGAGAUUUUUAAAACCACAUUAACUUUUUAGAACAAACCCUUUAAAUCAGAUAAAACCACUUUUGCCAUUUUAAUGUUAUUUGGACAUAAUAAAUGAUAUCCAUAUUUAGAAAUGAAGUAAUUUGGUAAUAAAAUGCCUGAAGUUUUCAGUAAACAAAGCUUUGUUAUCACUGAAUCAAAUAAAUUGACUUAAUAAUAACUACAUUACUACUUUCUAAUAAAACUCUCAUUUUGAUACAAAAAAAAAAUAUGAAGUGUUUUGAUGACCAAUUAAAUUAUUGAAAACAGAAAAAUAUUGUUUCAUAACCAAUGUAUUUUCCAGAUCAAAAGAGAAUUAUUCCGUCAACGAUCUUCAUUAGAUGUUGUGAUAGUAAGAGAUCAAUUCUGUUGUGGAACUAUUACAUAGCUUCAGUAGAAAUAUCAUGAAAAUUUAAAAUUCAUUUCAAAAGACUAAUGGGAACAAACCAAGCAUGACUGUAAAAAAAGAUGUCAUUGCAUGGUAUGCAUUAAAAUUGCUAUAGAGCAUGACACUUUUUUGAAAGGUCACCCAUGAAAUAGAGUCUUGGAAACAAGAAUUUUUAAGUCUGGAAUUGCUACCAAUUUAGUUAGCAUAAUGUAAACUAAUGUUAAUUUUUUAGCCAUUUAUCUGAAAAUUCUCAUAACUGUAAGAUCACACUCUUAUAGAGAGAGACCAAAAAAAAAUGGGAAGAAAACAUGAUAAACUUACUAAUGUUUGAAAAAAUUUCCCUGUUUGUUAACACUAAAUUUGUUUCAGCCCAAGUUUGUGAGGCAUGUUAAUGUGUAGGGUAUAUAUAUAAAUGUUAUUAAAACAUUCUGAAAUUCAAAUAUUGAACUAAUUAUCACAGUUUAACACUUGAAAUUUGCUCGGUUAUGAAAAUCAAUUCUUAUGUAAAAUCAAAUUACAUAUUUUCAUUUAUUGUGCCUUUUGCAGAUCGAGAGAAAAAUAAUGUUCUUUUGCAGUAGACUUAAUAUACCGUAAAAAGUCUUGGAAAACAAAAUCUACAGUUAAUAACAUUGCGGUUAGCAAAAUGAAAAAACUUUCCUAACAAAGAUGUGAGACCAUGUUCUAACCUGGAAUCAAAACGUAUUGUAAAUGUCUCUGAUGGUAUUUCUAAUGCUCUUUGAGGAUGAAUAUCUAAUAAUACACCACUUAACACAAAACAAACAAUCCAUUAUUCCCAAUAUUGUUUUCUUUAGUAAAUAUUUUACCUUGGCUGAGAACAAUUGGAGUUUAUUGCCGACGUCAUUAAGAAUAAGCGUUUAUAUAACAGGACAAGAUACAGAUCAUUGUAACAAGUCUUUUUACCGUUGCAUGACAUACAAUAAUGUUAGACGAGUAUAACGCUUUGAUCAUCAGGAAGAUCAAUUCUACGUAGCGCUGCCGAACAUCGCUGUCGAACAUCGAUUGGCCAGAUACUGAGCAUUCCUUUAGGAAGAUUACAACUUUAAUACCAACCAAAUCAAGUGUAUCAAUUUUCUUUCUUCAGUAAAUUGGUGUAAUUUGAAGAAAAUGUCAUUUUCUUUAUUUAAUUAUAUGUAGCAUACGAGCUUUAUGAAAGGGACAAGAUAGAAAAUAGAUUUUUAUCAAUCAGAUAACUCUCUUCAAAUUACGUUUCUUUAAACUUAUCCAUAAAGAACCAAAAAAAAUAACAGAAAACGAAACAAUUCAAAGAUUAUUCAAAAUUAAAACAACCAAUUCAGGAAAGAAUUUAAAAUAAUUAGAAAAUUAAACAUAACAUUGCUGCCGGAAAGUGAAACAAUUCAAGCACAACAUCCCGUAAUGAAACAAUUCUAAAGUAAAAAUACAGCGUACAAUAUAACAUUGUAACCAAUUUAAAAGAAGCAACCAUUCAAUUGUAAGGGUCAUCUAAUUAACUUGUUAUAGGGACUGUAGCUAAUAGCUCAUUACGUAAUGUUAAAAGUUAUAUAGGACUUUGAAAGUUUAGUAUCAAUAGUGACCUUUAUGUUGGGUUGCUGUCUCAUCGUCAUAUAAUGCAUGCUUAAGUGAAAUAAUUUCCAAUAUUUAAAGUACGCUGAAGCCAUGUAAUUAACUGGUUUAGAUUUUUACACAUUAUAAAUCAUUAAUAAACAGAAGUCAUUUUUCCGUAAGAAAGGAAGCUUUUAAAGAAUUACUUGGCAUAAUAUGUAAGCUAUAUUCAUAUGGUAAGUUGUCAUAAUGAGGACAAAGCAGGUCUUUAUAGAUUGACAGGAUAUACCAUUCCCUUUCCGGAGACGAAAGGAAACUAUUAUCAUUAUAACACACUUUUUCUCUCAUCUAUUUGUGCUAUAAUUGACACAAAAUUUGUCAUAAAAAAGAAAACUUCCUGCAUUUCUGAACAAAAUGUUACGAAAUAUGUCAUUCCACUGUAAUGGGAUCUAGUCUUGUGGAAAAUAUGUCAAUUAUACCGCACAUUGUGUAAGAUAAUGGAAGGUCAUGAUGGAUAACAUCCACGUACAGGUAUCUCACUCAAUCAAACUUGAUAAGGGUAAAGGUCAAUGAAACAGCAACCCAACAAAAAUAACAACCAAAUGUCAAUUAUUCCGAACACUGUGUAAGAUAAUAGAAGGUCAUGAUGGAUAACAUCCAGGUAGAGGUAUCUCACUCAAUCAAACCUGAUAAGGGUAAAGGUCAAUGAGACAGCAACCCAAAAACAUUAACAACCAUUUAAUGUUUUAUCCAUAUAGCCACUUGUUUUCUCUUAUGAAUUGUUUUACAUUUGUCAAUUAAGCCUUGUAUAACUUGCUGUGUGGUAUGGGUUUUGUUCCUUGCUGAAGUUUGUUCCUUGGUCUAUUAUGUGCUGUAACUUCUAUGUCAUUUGGUCUCUGGUGAAGACUGAGUUGUCUUAUCAGUAAACAUACUACUUGUUCCUUGGUCUAUUAUGUGCUGUAACUUCUAUGUCAUAUGUUCUCUGGUGAAGACUGAGUUGUCUUAUCAGUAAACAUACUACUUGUUCCUUGGUCUAUUAUGUGCUGUAACUUCUAUGUCAUAUUUGGUCUCUGGUGAAGACUGAGUUGUCUUAUCAGUAAACAUACUACUUGUUCCUUGGUCUAUUAUGUGCUGUAACUUCUAUGUCAUAUUUGGUCUUCUGUGAAGACUGAGUUGUCUUAUCAGUAAACAUACUACUUGUUCCUUGGUCUAUUAUGUGCUGUAACUUCUAUGUCAUUUGGUCUCUGGUGAAGACUGAGUUGUCUUAUCAGUAAACAUACUACUUGUUCCUUGGUCUAUUAUGUGCUGUAACUUCUAUGUCAUAUUGGUCUCUGGUGAAGACUGAGUUGUCUUAUCAGUAAACAUACUACUUGUUCCUUGGUCUACUGUAACUGCUAUGUCAUUUGGUCUUAAGACUGAGUUGUCUAGUAAACAUACUACUUGUUCCUUGGUCUAUUAUGUGCUGUAACUUCUAUGUCAUUUUGGUCUCUGGUGAAGACUGAGUUGUCUUAUCAGUAAACAUACUACUUGUUCCUUGGUCUAUAUGUGCGUAACUUCUAUGUCAUAUUUGUCUCUGGUGAAGACUGAGUUGUCUUAUCAGUAAACAUACUACUUGUUCCUUGGUCUAUUAUGUGUCUAUUAUGUGCUGUAACUUCUAUGUCAUUAUGGUCUCUGGUGAAGACUGAGUUGUCUUAUCAGUAACAUACUACUUGUUCCUUGGUCUAUUAUGUGCUGUAACUUCUAUGUCAUUUGGUCUCUGGUGAAGACUGAGUUGUCUUAUCAGUAAACAUACUACUUGUUCCUUGGUCUAUUUAUGUGCUGUAACUUCUAUGUCAUAUUUGUUCUCUGGGUGAAGACUGAGUUGUCUUAUCAGUAAACAUACUACUUGUUCCUUGGUCUAUUAUGUGUGCUGUAACUUCUAUGUCAUGUGUUCUCUGGUGAAGACUGAGUUGUCUUAUCAGUAAACAUACUACUUGUUCCUUGUCUAUUAUGUGCUGUAACUUCUAUGUCAUAUUUGUCUCUGGUGAAGACUGAGUUGUCUUAUCAGUAAACAUACUACUUGUUCCUUGGUCUAUUAUGUGCUGUAACUUCUAUGUCAUAUUUGGUCUCUGGUGAAGACUGAGUUGUCUUAUCAGUAAACAUACUACUUGUUCCUUGGUCUAUUAUGUGCUGUAACUUCUAUGUCAUUUGGUCUCUGGUGAAGACUGAGUGUCUUAUCAGUAAACAUACUACUGUUCUUGUCUAUUAUGUGCUGUAACUUCUAUUCAUUUGUUCUCUGGUGAAGACUGAGUUGUCUUAUCAGUAAAACAUACUACUUGUUCUUGGUCUAUUAUGUGCUGUAACUUCUAUGUUCAUUUGUCUCUGGUGAAGACAGUUGUCUUAUCAGUUAACAUACUACUUGUUCCUUGGUCUAUUAUGUGCUGUAACUUCUAUGUCAUUUGUCUCAGGUGAAGACUGAGUGUCUUAUCAGUAAACAUACUACUUGUUCCUUGGUCUAUUAUGUGUUGUAACUUCUAUGUCAUAUGUUCUCUGGUGAAGCUGAGUGUCUUAUCAGUAAACAUACUACUUGUUCCUUGGUCUAUUAUGUGCUGUAACUUCUAUGUCAUAUUUGUUCUCUGGUGAAGACUGAGUUGUCUUAUCAGUAAACAUACUACUUGUUCCUUGGUCUAUUAUGUGCUGUAACUUCUAUGUCAUUUUGUCUCUGGUGAAGACUGAGUUGUCUUAUCAGUAAACAUACUACUGUUCCUUGGUCUAUUAUGUGCUGUAACUUCUAUGUCAUUUGGUCUCUGGUGAAGACUGAGUUGUCUUAUCAUAAACUACUGUUCCUUGGUCUAUAGUGCUGAACUUAUGUCAUUUGUCUGGUGACUGAGUUGUCUAUCAAGUAAACAUAUACUUGUUCCUUGUCUAUUAUGCUUAACUUCUAUGUUCUCUGGUAAGACUGAGUUGUCUUAUGUAAACAUACUACUUGUUCUGUCUAUGUCUGUAACUUCUAUGUCAUAUGUCUCUGGUGAAGACUGAGUUGUCUUAUCAGUAAACAUACUACUUGCUGUCUAUUAUUGCUUAACUCUAUGUCAUUUGGUCUCUGGUGAAGACUGAGUUGUCUUAUCAGUAAACAUACUACUUGUUCCUUGGUCUAUAUGUGCUGUAACUUCUAUGUCAUUUGUCUCUGGUGAAGGACUGAGUUGUCUUAUCAGUAAACAUACUACUUGUUCCUUGGUCUAUUAUGUGCUGUAAUUCUAUGUCAUUGGUCUCUGGUGAAGACUGAGUUGUCUUAUCAGUAAACAUACUACUUGUUCCUUGUCUAUUAUGUGCUGUAACUUCUAUGUCAUUUUGUCUCUGGUGAAGACUGAGUUGUCUUAUCAGUAAACAUACUACUUGUUCCUUGUCUAUUAUGUGCUGUAACUUCUAUGUCAUUUGGUCUCUGGUGAAGACUGAUUGUCUAUCAGUAACAUACUACUUGUUCCUUGGUCUAUAUGUGCUGUAACUCUAUGUCAUUUGUCUCUGUGAAGACUGAGUUGUCUUAUCAGUAAACAUACUACUUGUUCCUUGGUCUAUUAUGUGCUGUAACUUCUAUGUCAUUUGGUCUCUGGUGAAGACUGAGUUGUCUUAUCAGUAAACAUACUACUUGUUCCUUGGUCUAUUAUGUGCUGUAACUUCUAUGUCAUUUGGUCGGUGAAGACUGAGUUGUCUUAUCAGUAAAUACACUUGUGUCUAUAUUGCAACUAUGACUCUGUGAGACUGAGUGUCUUAUCAGUAAACAUACUACUUGUCCUGUCUAUUAUGUGCUGUAACUUCUAUGUCAAUUGGCUCUGGUGAAGACUGUGUCUUAUCAGUAAACAUUCUGUUCUUGUCUAUUAUGGCUGUAACUUCUAUGUCAUUUUGUCUCUGUGAAGACGAGUGUCUUAUCAGUAAACAUACUACUUGUCCUUGGUCUAUUAUGUGCUGUACUUCUUGUCACUCUGGUGAGACUGAGUUGUCUUAUCAGUAAACAUACUACUUGUUCCUUGGUCUAUUAUGUGCUGUAUUCUAUGUCAUAUUUGGUCUCUGGUGAAGACUGGUUGUCUUAUCAGUAAACAUUACUUGUCCUUGGUCUAUUAUGUGCUGUAACUUCUAUGUCAUUUGGUCUCUGGUGAAGACUGAGUUGUCUUAUCAGUAAACAUACUACUUGUUCCUUGGUCUAUUAUGUGCUGUAACUUCUAUGUCAUGUGAUCUCUGGUGAAGACUGAGUUGUCUUAUCAGUAAACAUACUACUUGUUCCUUGGUCUAUUAUGUGCUGAACUUCUAUGUCACUUUGGUCUCUGGUGAAGACUGAGUUGUCUUAUCAGUAAACAUACUACUUGUUCCUUGGUCUAUUAUGUGCUGUAACUUCUAUGUCAUUUUGGUCUCUGUGAAGACUGAUUGUCUUAUCAGUAAACAUACUACUUGUUCCUUGGUCUAUUAUGUGCUGUAACUUCUAUGUCAUUUUGUCUCUGGUGAAGACUGAGUUGUCUUAUCAGUAAACAUACUACUUGUUCCUUGGUCUAUUAUGUGCUGUAACUUCUAUGUCAUAUUUGGUCUCUGGUGAAGACUGAGUGUCUUAUCAGUAAACAUAUACUUGUUCCUUGGUCUAUUAUGUGCUGUAACUUCUAUGUCAUUUGGUCUCUGGUGAAGACUGAGUUGUCUUAUCAGUAAACAUACUACUUGUUCCUUGGUCUAUUAUGUGCUGUAACUUCUAUGUCAUAUUUGUUCUCUGGUGAAGACUGAGUUGUCUUAUCAGUAAACAUACUACUUGUUCCUUGGUCUAUUAUGUGCUGUAACUUCUAUGUCAUAUUUGUUCUCUGGUGAAGCUGAGUUGUCUUAUCAGUAAACAUACUACUUGUUCCUUUGGUCUAUUAUGUGCUGUAACUUCUAUGUCAUGUUCUCUGGUUCUCUGGUGAAGUCACUGAGUUGUCUUAUCAGUAAACAUACUACUUGUUCCUUGGUCUAUUAUGUGCUGUAACUUCUAUGUCAUUUUGGUCUCUGGUGAAGACUGAGUUGUCUUAUCAGUAAACAUACUACUUGUUCCUUGGUCUAUUAUGUGCUGUAACUUCUAUGUCAUAUUUGUCUCUGGUGAAGACUGAGUUGUCUUAUCAGUAAACAUACUACUUGUUUCCUUGCGUCUAUUAUGUGCUGUAACUUCUAUGUCAUUUGUCUCUGGUGAAGACUGAGUUGUCUUAUCAGUAAACAUACUACUUGUUCCUUGGUCUAUUAUGUGCUGUAACUUCUAUGUCAUAUUUGGUCUCUGGUGAAGACUGAGUUGUCUUAUCAGUAAACAUACUACUUGUUCCUUGGUCUAUUAUGUGCUGUAACUUCUAUGUCAUUUGGUCUCUGGUGAAGACUGAGUUGUCUUAUCAGUAAACAUACUACUUGUUCCUUGGUCUAUUAUGUGCUGUAACUUCUAUGUCAUUUGGUCUCUGGUGAAGACUGAGUUGUCUUAUCAGUAAACAUACUACUUGUUCCUUGGUCUAUUAUGUGCUGUAACUUCUAUGUCAUGUUUGUUCUCUGGUGAAGACUGAGUUGUCUUAUCAGUAAACAUACUACUUGUUCCUUGGUCUAUUAUGUGCUGUAACUUCUAUGUCAUGUGUUCUCUGGUGAAGACUGAGUUGUCUUAUCAGCAAACAUACUACUUGUUCCUCGGUCUAUUAUGUGCUGUAACUUCUAUGUCAUGUGAUCUCUGGUGAAGACUGAGUUGUCUUAUCAGUAAACAUACUACUUGUUCCUUGGUCUAUUAUGUGCUGUAACUUCUAUGUCAUUUGGUCUCUGGUGAAGACUGAGUUAUCAGUAAACAUACUACUUGUUCCUUGGUCUAUUAUGUGCUGUAACUUCUAUGUCAUUUGGUCUCUGGUGAAGACUGAGUUGUCUUAUCAGUAAACAUACUUGUUCUUACUUUUUUAAUUUGGUGAAAGAAAAAAGAAGGGAGAAAUUAUACUUGUUUUAUUUAUUUGUUUAAAUCUAUUCAAUUCCUCAUACAUUCCUUUUUCACCUCAUAAAAAAUAAUUUAUUUUCUCAAGUUAAUAUGAGAAAAUAUCUCAAAUCGGAUUACAAAUUGCUUUAAAAGCUCAGGGUAACAUUUUAGCUUGUAAUUGUAUAUAAAUGGUCCAUUAAAAUACAUUAAACUCUCCACAUAUAAUUAUUGUACUACACAGUAAAGGACAACUACAGGUCUAUGUUAAUCAAUUGGAAAAUUAUAGUCUUCAAAAGUAAACAUCUUCUUAUAAAUGACUUUUAAAGUUAUAGUGUGAAAAUAAAAGAUUUUAUAGCGAUCCAACUGGACUACAAAUCGUCAACAGAUUAUUUUUAACUAUGGUUUAUAUACCUUUAAUACAAGACCUUAGUACCGCAAUAAGGUUAAAGAUCAUUUGAAGCUAUAGCAGUGAUGUAAAUUAUUCAAAGAUUUCUUUUUUUAUGUAUUUAUAAUCAGAUGUUUCAAAUGUAGGUUAAUACAGCUCUUUUCACAAAAAAACUUAAAAUUUAUGAACAUUUCAAUAUAACUUAUAAUCCAUUGUAAUUGAUUUUUUUGUAAAAAAAAAUGUUGGUUAUUCUUUACUGAAACUUAAUAUUUACUUUUUAAAGAGAUAUUGCAUAGGCUAAAACUUUUACAUAAUUUUAAAAUUAUAGGGUAGUAUUGACAGCUUUGGUCUAAUGUUUCUUUACCAAUAAAUAUUGACCUAAAUCACAAAUUACAGAGUAGCUCCUAAACACUGUGGUCUAACACCUUUUAACCAAAUUCAUCUAAUUCAUCUUUUAUUAUAAAAUUUAAAGUGACAACAUUUUAUAUUUGUAGAAACAGUAAUUGUAUAUAACUGAAGAAAUUACUUGAGCUAGAGGGCAAACAGAGAAAAUCAUCUGUCCUUUGUACAUUUCCCUAUCAUGUUUAUCUCUAAUUUCAUUUCCAUUUAUAGAAACUAACAUCUGCUAGAUCCGCUUACUUAAAAAAAUGUUUAUUUUGAUAGAAAAGUUUUCAUUCUCUGACAGUUUAACCAUUCAAAGGCAUUUGUAUGUGUAGUGAAAUUGGUAUUCUGAUGUAACGAUUUAUACUUUUUUACAUUUUGAGAAAGAACUUCAUGUUUUUUUCACAUUAUGCUUAUUCCAAAAUACAUUUUAUUUUUAUUUCCAAUUCUUUGUUGACUACAAAUUAAAUUUAUUCCAUUUAUUGACUGACCAUCUGUAUGAUUAGAGGGAAAGUUCUACAACAUGGACUCAAAUUUCACAUUAACAUCCCCCUAUCAUAUUUUACAUAAAAGUUUAUCUGUUAUUUUAAUUUUGUAUCAAUGUUCAAAGACAAUAGCGAUUUCUCCCAGAUAAUAUCAAAUUUCAAAACAUUACUUUUUCAAUCAGUUGGAAAAUUUGUCAUAAUUAUGCAAGAUAUCAAGAACAUAAAAUACAUUAUCUGAUUGGCCGAAAGCUGAAAACACUAAUAUCAUGUGUCAUAUGCCCUGGACAUAUGGAAAAUUGUUUAAAGCGAACUUUGAUAACCAUCUAUGACAACUCUCUGAUGGUCAGGAUGUCUAAGGACAAAAAUCCAACCUUGAUACAUUAAUGGGCCAUUAUUAUUGACAACUACUCUAAAUAUUUUUCACCCUUUAUUUUUUUAAAAUUAUGAUGAUUUUUGAUGUUGGAGAAAACAGCAGAGAACACAUCAAGUAAUUAAACUUCACAAGUAUGACUGACUUUUGAUGAGUUAAAUCAGAAAUGUGAAAUUUUAUUGGAAACAACUCUAUAAAAUAAAGUUAAGGAUUAGAGUAUGUUUGAUGUUUGAUCCUGGGAUAAGUUAUGUAUUUAUCAAGAUCAACAACUGAUUUAUGUGGGAAAAUCACUCUAUAAAAAUAACAAUAAAAUGAAAUUUUCCAGUUGUCUGACAUAACCAGGAUAAUGGAUUGUACAUGUAAUAACUUUUAUAAAAUUAUUACCAAGAUUUUUAAAGUUACAAAAGAAAGUAUACUUUUGUACCAGAAAUUUAUAAAUAUACAUUUUUGUACUUGUUUUUAAAAUUUCUUUGAGGAAACAAUUAUUCUGCAGAGUUAUGAAAACAAUAAACAUCAUGUAAAUAUUAUCUUGUCUGAAAUGAUUUUUUUCUCAGAUCUGAGAUGAACAGAAUACCAGAAUUCUUGACCAGUUUCCGCCAUUUUCAUAUUUAUAUUCAGUAAAUCACCAAGUGGAAUUUCCUAUUUACAAACAGUUCAAGAUUCCCUUAUUAUUAGCUAAAAAAACGCAAUAAAAAUUUCCAUUUUAUAGACAAUAUUAUCUUAAACACUAUAAUUUUCUUCCUAGCAUGCUAUUUGUGGCCUCUUUUUGGUCAACUUUAUUUUCCUAAAUGGUUCUACGAAUUGCUUGAUUUACAAGUAAAGCUAGAGUUUUAUUGUUGGACUCGGUAGAUAAUCACCCAUCUCCCUCAGACACAAUAAAACUUUUGUCUCGGAAAGACCCACUAUCCAUACUGCAUUCAUUGUCACUACAUCAAUGGACGAUGGUCGCCUGUCAAACCCUCGGCCAAACUGACAAGUGACCAGAUGACAAUGCAUCAGAGAUGUUUACUUAUGCUAUUUUCAAAGGCAGCUUGAUUAAACACUUGAGCAACUCAGAUAACCAUCAGAGUCAAACGGUCACUAUGUUAAUUUGUGAGGUUACAAUUUGAAUCGUAUCUGUCCUUUUGGUCAAUAAUACAUUUAUUUCUUCCAAUUUCAAACAUGUGCCACUGAAAUUGUAAUUAAUGAUAAAUGCCAAGAAAACAACAUCUAUUAUUGAGCAUUGAAAUGAAUUCAAUUAAAACUUGUAUUCCUUAAAAAGGAAAAUCCACAAAACUGUGAGUUAAAUUUAUGAGUUUUUGCAGACAAUGGAUUUAAGUACAAUGAUUAGAAUCAAUGAACAUCAGCUUUAGUCUAUUACCGUAGCUUUCUGAAUCACAGACAAUCGCCAAACAUAGACAGUGGUUGUAUUAUGUCAGUUCAGUUUACCUAUACUUUUGGCCUUGCUGAUCUGUCAUGUGGGUUUUUGUCCAGUUUAUCUAUACUUUUGGCCUUGCUGAUCUGUCAUGUGGGUUUUAGUUCACUUUACCUAUACAUUUGGCCUUGAUGAUCUGUCAUGUGGGUUUUAGUUCAGUUUACCUAUACUUUUGGCCUUGCUGAUCUGUCAUGUGGGUUUUAGUUCAGUUUAUCUAUACUUUUGGCCUUGCUGAUCUGUCAUGUGGGUUUUUGUUCAGUUUACCUAUACUUUUGGCCUUGCUGAUCUGUCAUGUGGGUUUUAGUUUAGUUUACCUAUACUUUUGGCCUUGCUGAUCUGUCAUGUGGGUUUUAGUUCAGUUUACCUAUACUUUUGGCCUUGCUGAUCUGUCAUGUGGGUUUUAGUUCAGUUUACCUAUAUUUUUGGCCUUGCUGAUCUGUCAUGUGGGUUUUAGUUCAGUUUACCUAUACUUUUGGCCUUGCUGUCGUCAUGUGUUGGUUUUUAUUUCCAGUUUCACUGUAAACUUUGAGCUUUCUAUUUAUUGUUUUGUGGGUUAAUGCUUAGUAUCAAAGUAUAACUUUUGUAUCAAAAUUCUAAAACCGUUCGUCCUUUUUUCAAACCCAUAUUUAUGAUUAUCAAAAACUGAUUUUUUAAUUAAAUCAGAGCUCAAUGUUUAUGUCCUUAAAUUUGACCCACCCUCAUAAUUGAACACAUGGACUCCUGUAUUAAGGCAAGCAUGUCAUCAUAAGAUCCCACGGAGACAGUUGUCAUGGAUGGGAAAUAUCUAAACUAAGAAACUUUAAUGCCAAUGAAUCCUAACCCAUUUAUACUGUGAACAUCCAUAGCAACAAUCAAUGGCAUGGUAACGUUUUACACCACAGUAAUUUUGAAAAAAAGAUUCCCUGAGUUUUAAUGACCUUUUAGUAAAUAAAUAAUGUUGCAGUUGAUGGAACAAGUGCUGCAGUCAUCAAAUUCUACUUACAUACAUACAACCUUAUGAAGAUCAAUCCAGCUAUUGAUCUAUACUGGAUGAUGCAAAACUCCAUUUCCUCUAGUUUCUAGUCAAAAUAAAACUAAUGCAUAUUUGAGAACGUUUUACUUUUAAUGACAGAAAGACUAAAUAUUCUCAAGUGUGAGAUAAAGAUUCGUAAAAGAUGAAUAAUGGAGAAUUGUUAUUUCAAAAACCAUAACCAAAGUACAUUUUAUCUUCAGUUUUAUUCAAGAACAUUUUAAAAUUUGUUUUUGUCAAAAGAAAUGUCUGAUGUUUAUGGCUUUUUUGACAAACGACUUUCAUAUUUUUUUUCUCCAAAAGCAGUAUAUCUAUCUCUAGAUCAUUAUAAUGGGAAUAUAAUCUCGCUGAAAACAUUUCACUAUAUUUUACCUAAAGCAUCUAUAUUUUGAUGGCUUUUAGAUACGUACUACUGAUAAACGAAAACAUGGUGCUGAAAGUCAUUAGUACUUCGACAAUCAGUGAAAGAACCUUUUGAUUUUUCUGGUUCUUUACAAAAGCUAUUUUUUUCUGAUAAUCAGCAGCAUCUUUUGAACAAUGAGAGCCUAUAGAUAUAACAUAGUCACAAUAGACAAUCUACAAGCCAAUAUAUCUACAAGACAAAUAUCUCACAUAGAUAUCAAAUAUUUAUACUCUUUUCAAGAUCUUCAAUGAUACCGUAAAUGACUUCUCUACAAAAUACAUACAUCUUCCGUAUUGAUCAGUGAAAAUUCAUAAUAAAAUGUCUACAUUAAGGUAGGAAUCGAUGAGGACAGCUACCAAUAAAAUCCUCAAAUAACACAAUCAAUCAACCGGCCCUUUGUACUUUGUAGUUUCAUCAACAAAGCAAGCCUCCCUAUUUUCCAGCUAUAUUAUACUCUAAUUCUAAUUUGAAAAAGAAAAUGAAAAUCUAAUUGUUUAUUAAUGCUUUUUAAUGGAAAAUACAUUAGUGCUAUCAAUGGAGCUAAUCAUAUAUAUACAAGAGAACUUGGACAGUAGACAUAAUCAACUCUAAUUUCUUUAGUCUUAUCCCCAUAGUAUUGUUAAUCUAACGGUCAAUAUUCUAGUUAGGGCUUUAUUCUACUAACUAAGGUCAAAUACAGUACUGUUAAUCUAGCCACUCAUAUUUUUGCUCUCAUAAUUCUGAUCUAUGCCAAAUCUAUUAUUAUAUUACAAUGUCAAAGAUGUAGUUUUUUGAUCCUUCAUUAUGAGACUUUUGUCAUUGUUCGAUCAGGCAUUAUCAUAGUCUUUGAUGUUGUGGGUCCCAAUUUACAUACCAGUGCAACAUGUUUGGAAACAUUUUUUUAUAUUUUAUAUAGGAUCACAUACAAUAUAGUUCUCAACUUAAUGACUGUAGAUUAUGUUUUUGUGGGAUACCAAUUUUCUUUGAUUUUUGCUGGAAGGAGAACUAUCCAAUGUCCCUUUAGACAAGUACCAUUUUACAGCAAAGUGAGAGCAUAUUACAAUUCUUAAGUUUAUUUGAAUGCUACUGUUUUCUUUCCUGAUGGUAGUAAUUGUGUAUUUUAGUGAUUUGUGUUGUAUAAUUCAAUAAUACUCUAUUUACAUUAGGAGCUAGCUAUAGAGCUCAGAUUUAACUGAUUACACAAGAGAACCAGCAGGCUACUCAGUCACUACUGUAUUGAUCAAACAUCAUUGGCUAAUCAAUUCUAAUUAAUACAAUUUAUGCUAAUUACUAAUUUGUAAAUGUCAUUUACAAACUCAAUAAAUUUUAACACAAUUUUGACCAAAUAUGGUAAUGAUAGUGUAGUAGGAUGGACAAAAGGAGUUAUUAAUUUCAAAUUUGUGGCAAAAUAGAAGAUUUUUAGAGGGUAUAAUCAAGCACGCUUCUUCAAGUGUGGUGAGAACAUGCCAUGAUAAAUUUCUUAUAAUUUUAUCCAAUAUUUUAAUCUGCCUUAUUUCCUCAUCUCAAGGGGAGAAAUAAUUUUUCUCCAUUAAGAAUUUAAUCCACCAAACUUUAUAAUUAGAUAGGAACUUCAGCCGACCAUUAAUUGAUAAUUUUCGUAAUAAGCGUCAUGCGGUUUCAAAUUUUCUUAAAGAUUAACAAAAUUAUAAAGAAGACGAGAAUUAAUCCCGCUUUGAUCUUGGUAGAUAUAACAUUUAUUUGGUAAUGACAUUAACAUCAUCAAACACAAAUCAAAUAUCAAAAUAACUUGAAAACACAGCCCUUAGCCAUUAACGGAAAUAUUUCAUUUCCACUGCAACUAGAAACAUAUGAUCAACAAAAGAAUGAUAGUGUAUGGAAGGAACAAAGCAGAGAGCUUUAAUUAACUGACAGUCCUUCAUUAUCUCUCGCUGUCAGAGAUUCCGCAACAUUCGGAGAAAUGAUGGUGUUCUCUUUUAAUGACCAUUCUUAUUCAGACCAUAAAUAUUUACUCUUAAAGGUGAAAAAUAGACUUUGCUAGGUGGAUGUCAGAAAUUCAAAAAGAAUCUAAUAUUUCAUCAUGAAAAGGCUUUGAAAGGAAAAUCCAACAAUUAACACCAUUUCAUCUUUUAAAGCAAAGACAAAAUGUUUUAAAACUCAAUCCUGAUGUCAUUAAAUGAUUCCAAAAAGAAUUGUAGCUGAAAGUUUUAUUAUUUUUUCAUACUUAAUUCAUCUAAAAGGGACAAAACCUUUAUUACAUUUAUUUUUCCUAAAUAUAUUUUUCCCAAAUGUUAUAUGUUGAAGGAUUGUGAUACCAUAACUUAUAAUCAACAUAAAUUUUGAAAUUGGUUGUGUUGUUGGAGUAAUUCUGUAUUAAUAGCUGAAAUAACAUCCUUAAUUGCAAACUAAUGUCAUUCUUUGUAUCUUUGACACAGGUGGUAUUCAAAGAUGAAAAGAUAAUCUUUCAUUACUCUAAUGAUUACAAAAAAUCAAAAAUAAAACCUAUUAGAACUCAAAAUGGAGGAAAGAACUGCUUUGUCUAAUAUAUAUAUAUAUCUAAAAUAUUUUGAGAAAUAAUAAAUCAACUCCCUAAAAACUUUAACUUUAUAGCAUUUAAUAAUUCACAGUGACAAGCAGAAUACAUUGGAGUUAUCAGUGCAGCAAACUUUAAAAUGUCCCUGACAUUGCCCAACUUAAGCUUUGUCAAAUACUGGGAAAACAAACAUGCUAAAAUGAAAAUUACCAACGAGUAUCCUCUGGGGCCUUUUGUAGUACUCUAAUAUCCCAGAACAGUCAUUUCAGUAGAUAGAUAGAUACAGUCUAAGUCAAUUUAUGGAAGGACAUAUACAGAUAAGGACAAUGUACUAGAGCUCAGCUCAGAUCUGUGAUCUAGUUUGUAUGUAGAUAUAUUGCUAGCUUUAAAAAAGGCCAUAGAAAUCUAUUAAUAAAGUAGCUUAGAACUAAUAUCUCUGUGUUGUUGUGUUAACGCUGAUUGAACGUAACUAAAUCCUGUAUGAAAGUGGUUUUAUCGAAUAGGAUGAAAAUCUCUUCUGGCUGAUUUACUCAAAUCAAAUAUAUCGGUGAUGUUUGUGUAUAAUGAACUUUAAAUUCUAUCGAAGUUGUCUAUAUAUGAUUAGAUCAUAGAAAUGUAGUGCAGAAAAAUUCAAAAGGUCAUUAGAAUUGUUCAUCAAAUCUACUGCCCAUAAUGAUUUGGUCAUUUAUUAAAUUCACUGAAAGAAAGGUGCACUUGAGAGUGGACCUUGCACCAAACAGUCAAGUUCUAUUUAGGUCAAAGUUUAUUUUUAGCUGGAAAACAAUCACAUGUAACCAUGAAACAGGAUUUAUAAGAUCAUUUAUAUUUUUGACGAAUGAUCUAAAGCCAUAAGACAGCUGACUUAUGAAAUUGAUUUGAUUGGGUCUGACACAAUAGACUAUUAUUUUCAACUCAAUAGGUAACAGCAGGCCACCUUUUUUAUAAAGAAAAUUCCCUUAAAUGAGGAUAAAAUUGGGAUUUAUCAUUAAGCUUUUUACAACUUCUUUUCACUACCAUUAGCAUUAAAUGUGCCUUAAAAUUUACUGUCAUUCAACUCAUAAGAUUUUUCAAAGCUAAUGAAUAAGGAUACAAUGUUACAAUGUUAUUUACUUCUUUUAUUUCUCUUGUGAGGUACCCCAUUUCCACCCUCCUUAAUAUAAUAGAAAAUUAAGGUUUUUAAUAUGACCAGGUCACCUUAACUUUGAGAUAAUAAAACAUGGUGCAUAUUAAAUCAUCAGACAUGCAUUUCCAUGGCAGCAGAUUGUACAUUGUGUUUCCGAUGUUGUAAAAGCUGGGACAAUGGAAUAAUAUCUAUUAGCUCACCUAUUCUCCAGUGAAAAGGUCAAACAACAAAACAUUAAUCUUCCAUAGAAUUCAUAAAACUUCUAUUGAAUAGAAAAAUAAUUAAUAUCAGACUACAAAACAUCUAAAUGAGAGACGUUCUGUUACAGACUAAUACAGACAUGUACCAACAGCAAAUAUUCUCUAGCAGAAAAAUUAAUAUUCUACAUCAAACAUUAAUGGAUAUAAAUGAAAGAAAAUAUGAAUUAUAUGUCAAGGGGGAAGCAACCCAACAAAACAAAUAUCCAAACAACUUCUAGAUAAUGAUUACACAGAAGAAUGAGUCUUUCUGAAAUAUCUCCGAGUUUAGAAUGAGACUUGGCUUCCAUCAGAAUCAAACAUCAAAGCCGUAUGAAAAUUUCCUUAAUAUUUUACAUUUGACAAACUAAAUAUGUCAGAAUUCCCCCACCAGAACAAAGCUAGUUUAUUGAGUGACUAAUGGUAGUAUAUCUGCAGGUCUAUUUCCCCUGGUAUAAUACAGAGUAAGAUAAUCUCAUCCAAAAAGCAUACAGAUAAUACAAAAACCUUUACAUUCCAAUACACUGUCAAUGUCCAAAUUCAAUAAUACAGGGUAUAAUCUGAUAUCAAAUCUCAGCAAACGUCCCUAAGGAAUAUCCUCCUUGUUCCUAAUACCACUAUCAUUGCAACUCAUUCCUACAUUUAAAGUUUUCUUCUCAAAUGACUCAUUGAUAAAACAUAAUUUCUGUAUUCUCUGUUUCCCCGUUAAUAGAAUACAUACAGAAGAUAAAUAAAUAAAGUUGUACAAUAAUUAAUAUUAUGGUAACUUGAUGAGGCCAAUUUUACCCAAGUUAAACACAAUCCAGCUAAAUUAAAGUCAAGGUAGACAUAAUGGAAUUUGACAGUAAUAGAAUUACUCUACAGAGUUUUGACGAUCGUUAUUGUAUUACAGCAACAAAAGAGUCGUCUGUCUGUCUUAUAUUUUACCAGCUUCAAUCCAUAGAUUCAAUUUACAAACUUUUAUCUAAAAGCAUUCCAAUCGUGCAAGAUUACAAAAUGGCAACUAUUACCGUUUAAGCUCAAUUUAAUGUGUUUAUAUAAUUUGUUAAUUAGUGAAUAUUUGUAUAGGUAUUUUUGGGUUAAAAGGGCCAAGGUCAUUCUACAAUUCUGUACAUGGAAUUGGUAGAAGCUGAGGGUUAAAAUUUUACCCCAACAGUUGCAGCUGUGUCCUUAUUAGAACCUUUUAUAUGACCUUCACAAUUUUUCUGAUGAAAAUAUUCCUUCAAAGAACAAGUCAAACGCACCUCAUUAUUUACACCCCCUUUCUAAAUAUCACUUAUCAUUCAGGUAUAAUUCAAGUUUUAGAGUACAUUUGUAAAACAAAACUUAUGAAAAACCAUAUUAAUAAUUGGUUUAUAUGGCUUAAAACAUUAAAGACCACAUUUUACAGGUAUAAUUGACCUUGGUUCUAAGUUCUACAGUAAGCAUGAAGGUAUAAUGGUCAAUUGAAAAUACAUUAGGAUGAAACACUUGUGUACAGGAUAACGUCCUUGAAAAUGAUUAAUUUAAUUAAGCUGUCUGGCUCUAAUGAUAUUACACAUAUAUAUAUUAUCAUCAUUUCACUUUGCAAAACAGUUUUUGUUUAGAAAUUGUUUUCCUGGAAAUCUGUGGAAAAUGAAGAAUGAUAAUAUUUAGAUCUUGAUGGGAUUGUGCCUUUACAAAUCCCUUUAUUAAUUUCCAUAUAAUAAAGGAUUUUUUUUAACAUAAUAUAUCUAUAUAAAAAGAUGUGUAAUAGCAACACAACAUCUACUGAAUUCCAGGCUGCUGUCUUGGAACUGAGACACAUAAAUUUGGUUUUUAUUGUCUAGAAGAUGGUUACUUCAGGAGCAUACUAUAAAUUUGGACUUUAUCAUUCACAGAAAAAAUCCCAAAUAUUUACACGAUCUGCAAGGCAAUGUUUUUUUUAUUUUUGUCAUGACAAUAUUUCCAAGCUAUCAACAAAUUUAUAAGUGCAGUAGACGAGAACACUGCAUCUGAUAAAUAUAAUGACACUGCUGAUUUAAAAUGAAAUAAAUUUGAAUUUUCCCCAUUUUAUCUGAAAUUGCAUGAUAUACUUAAGUAACUUGCCAUGAUAAGAUAAAUAAGACAUUUUUAUUAUUUUUUAUGGAAAAUGUCAUAAAACUGUACAGUCACAUAUCAGAUAAUUAUCUUUGUAAAUAUUUUAUACUCCAAUUUGUACAAUUAGGAUGAACUGAACUUUAAUCAACUAAAAAAGAUAAGAAUUCAAUUUAAUCUCCUGCUGAAUAUAUACUUGCUAACUCAUCAAAAUUUUAUUGGGGAUUCCAUUAGUCAGAUGAAAAGUCCUUUUCUGUGUCACACAUGAUCGAGUUUUAAUUCCCCAUCUAUAAGCAUAAGUAUAACCUAUUAAUCUGAUUAUCAUUAUUAAUUGUAUGAUUAAUUAUUUUAUCAUUAUCACAAUUAAUCAUGUGUGGAUCAAUCUAUCUUAAUUUUAAUAAUUAAUCUUGAUCCAAGAUAAACAGAGAUAACCAAAAAUAAAAGGUGCACUUGACUUUUCACUGGUUAGGUCAAAUUGUGUUUGAUGUGUAGAGACUUUGAUACUCUUUGUCCCCAGAAAUUGGUGUGUUUGAACUUUACUACUCAGUUCAAAAUUUACCAAUAUUUAGGAAGAGCAUGUUUGAAUUGAAGUAUUUUGUUUCUGUCUAUUUUAAGCUGUCCAAUGCUAUCAUAUAGCUGUCAGUAAGAAUACGGACUGAGUUUGAGUCAAGGUAAAGGAUUUAGAUUGAACUUGAAUAAGGUGCAUAUGAUUUUCUAAUGCAGAGAGUAGAGGGGUGGGUCUAGAGGGUACAUAGUAACUUUUCUUGAAAUAAUCAAAUAUGUAAUGGAAAGCUGACUCAUACAUUUAGAUUUCUUUAAAAUGAUAAUGUUCUCAAUUAAAUCAUUGCUACUUUUUUUCAAUGAAAAAUUAUUAAAUAUUUCCACUGUCUUUAUAUUUCCAUUCUUGAGAAAUAGUUUUCUCUUUUUUAUUUUCUUUUUUAUUUUUUGUGUGUGAACUCACUUCCAUAUUGACAUGUAAAAUAACUAUAAAUCAUAAUUAGUGAUGAAAGGGGUGAAAAUUCUCAGGCAAUUCUCAUUCUUCAGAGAUAAAAGUUUCAAAACCACAUGAUAACCUUGAUUAUAUUAUCUUGGUAUCUUCUACAAUAUAUUUCUGCUUUUAUUACAAGUUUCAUGAAAAAUUGAUGACUAGAAAAAUGUUAAGGAAGAAAUAUAAGCAUGACAUCAUAAGUCUGUUAAUCGUCUGGAUAGAAACGAGAAACGAUAAAUGAUCAGAGAACAUAAAACAAUAAGAUCUCUACUGUUGUCAUUACUUCUGUGCUGUAUGUGGUAUCAUAUAAUGGAACUGGUUAAAAAUACAUGAACAUUAAGACUUAACUCAUGCUUGGAACUUUACUGAUGGCAAACACUGGACUAACAUGACAACAGAUCAAUAAUAUAUAGAUAGGUUUUGUAACACAAUAUUUGGUUAUUAUGAUGGAGGGGUUGGUUAUCAUUUUACCAAUGGUCAAUUGAUUGAAGUUCCUCACCAAAAUUUUAAAAUAUCCAUCAAAAUGUUUAAUUUUCCAAAAUUUUGAUUUUUGUAAUAUAAGCAAGAGAGAAUUAUUAGGAGCGACUGUUCUGUGAUGCAAUCAAAACACACUAAUGAGCACCAAAUAAAAUAAUAUUUAUCGAUUUUAAUCACACAUACAAAAACUAAGUUUUCGUCUAUAAAUAUUUUCUAUUCAUUGAACUGGUUAAAGAUGAAACUUUCUGAUGUUCCGCUUGUUAAAAUCGUUCAUUAAAUAAUUUCAUUCACCAUUUAUUUCCGUCAAAAUAUGAACUGAAUGUAUCGAAUGUAUGAUUUUGUCAUAACAUUAUAUCAUAUCUUCUAAGCAUAAAGAAGGCGUGUUAUUAUUUGUCUGGGUUGCCAUAUGGUUUAUUGAGAAUUGAUGUUUAGCUGUAUGUUUGUGUAAAUCCGUUCUAUCGUAUCACAGAUGUCUGACAGUCGGACAUCGUGAUUUUUUGCUACAAAAACAAUUUUCUGCCAAAGUUUUUUGUAGCCCUUAGAUAAGACAAGAUCAUACAAGGUGUUAAUUAUAUUUUUAUUCAUUUUUCUUUGGCUCAUUAUAAGAUUGAGAUUGCAGAUUGUUCACAGUUGCACUCUUACAAUGAUUUGGUUUCCUCAAAAUAUGAGAUUCCCAUCACAUUUUUGUUAUAUUAAGUUUCUGUAUAACUGUUAUUUUGCUUUCAAUGGGUUUUAUCUAUAAGUGUUGCUCCAUGGCAUGGAGUUUCAAAUGGUGUUUUUUUUUGGAACUUGUUUUAAAUCACUGAAAAAUGUAUGUUCACUUUUAGAAUUUUACAUUUGUUUUGGUAUUGUAAGGCUUCUGUACAUGUCAGUGUGAUAUAUCGAUAAAGAUUUGUGAUAAACAUCAACAUUUACAAUUCCUAUAGAACGAAUCCUUUCUGAAGAACUUUCAAAUUUUCCUAGUUAAAUCCAACCUAUCUCAAUGAAACUCAAAAAAGAAGAAAAAAAAAAUUGCUGCAUUGCUUUGUGUUAGCUGAUAGUGAGGAGGUGUUAUUGAUCUGAGACUGAUGUGAGUUUUGACAGAUUUCCACGUAUUUAACAGAUUAACAUGUAUUUUCUCCUGUUUGUUUAUACUUAUAAACCAAAAUAGUCUGGCUUCUCAUCGUAGUACUGUAACUUAUGGUCGACUGGAGAUGAAAGAAAACCGUUUCAAAAUAAACAAAAAAAUAACUUAUGUCAGAUUUCCUAACUGGAUUAUGGGGGUGUGUUCGAUGAAUUUAAGUACAUUAACCUUACAGUUGUAACCAAUAAAGUCUCUGGUGUUUAUUCUUAAAGAAAUGAUCGUUAAUUGUUUUUUAAAGUUCCGCUUGCUCAUAUUUCAAAAGAUUUUGGUACAGAGUCAGCCUAUUGUACUGACACUAUUGUCUCAUAAAAACACUGCAACAUGUUUCAAAAAAUCUAUAGCUAAUUUCAAAUACUGAAUUAGUCAGACCUUAAAAGCAAUGCUAUAGACUGUCUUCAAAAAAAUAAUCCAAAAUAUUCCCAAUUUGAAUAUUUAAGACAUAAACAUUUUGACAUUUCCCAUUUUAAUGAUUGGAACACUGCAGAUCACAUUUGUAGAAAUGAAAUAUAGGACUAGUUUCAAUUAAAAUGGCAUGUUCCAUCUCUAACUAACUGUUACAUCACAGGCUAUUGAUCCUACAAGUUAUAAAAAACACAUAACUGGCUCAGAGAAUACUCAACACCCAUUCCUACUAAUCAAAGUGGAUUUCAAUAUCUGUAUAAAGAAGACAAUAGAUAAAUUGACACUAUUUUAUCAAUAACCGAAUUUGACAGAAGAGUUCAUAGGAAAUUUAGUUUGGUGCUUGUGAUCAUCAUAAAAUCAUAAAUAUAUACCCCUCAUUUCAUAGCUAUAAUCACUUUGGAUUAUGAUUUUUACGUUUUAUUGUAUAAAUGUCUGACAAACACAUCAAAAUAUAAAGACCAUUAAUUCAUUGAUUUGUGAGGCUGCUAUUUCACAAGAUUAAUCAUUACUAUUCUAAUGUACCAUUUGUUAUUGUCUCAACUUUCAGUUUUAACAAAAAAUAAUAUUUUUAAAACUUAAAUGUAACACCUAUUUAACACUUCUUUAUCAGAAAGUGAACAUUUCCUAUAUAAAUCAUGUGAAGUUUUGGCACUAUCAGAAUUAAAAAUAACAGAUAAAAACUUCCCAACUGUCAUUUCUUACUUUACAUAAUGAUUUUAUCUACCAAACUUUAUUUCCUUUAUCUUCUUAAAUUCAGCUAAAAAAAUGAACUUACGAAAUAAAAAACAUAAUUUGAAGGUGGGAGACUCUGAUGCAUGGGGAUAUAAUUUAAAACCUGUACUUUAAAUGGGGACUCCAUGGGGUUACAAAUUAACCCUAGUUACUUGAGUUUAAACUUUGACGUAGGGGCUGUUUUAUAAAUACAUUCCUAGGCAAGAUUAAAAACCUAGACAUAGAGAUUGUAUCAAAGUUUAGAAGAAACAGUAUGGAGUUUAUAUAAAAGCUAAACCAAUGAACUAAAUUGAAAUACAGAAGGACUAAAUGAAGAUUUAGUUGACUAUAAUAACGUAUGAACGGAGACAUAGUAACCUUCAACCUAGACAGGACAACUGUUAGGGCAUAUCGGGACACAACUUACAACUAUAGACGGGGUAGUUCUGUAUGGAGAUAUAAGACUAUAACCUAGACAAGGACGUUCUGUAUGAAGAUUAUGACUUUCAUGUACACAGGGGCAUUCUAAAUGGUGGACUCAGUGACUUAAAAUAAGGGAAGGAUUUUCAGUUUCACAUUUUAGAUUUCUUUCCUUUAGAAAAUCCUAAUUGCUUUUCUCAAAAAAAAUAAAAAAUUGACCCAAUGUAGAACAAUCAUUCUAUAGCUUUCCAAAAUCCACAAUAAAUCUGUAUUCCAAGAAGACAAGACAAUUGAAUGUACAUGUAUGAUGUAAGAUCUAUAAAUACAUCAGUGAGAUGAUAGAUCUGAACUAUAAAUGUUACAGAAUACUUCUGAAGGCUGAUCACUAUAAAUGUUACGGAAUACUUCUUGAUAAUGUCGGAAUACUUCUGAAGGCUGAUCAGAAUACAAGAUCACAUUGAUUGUAAAUAUCAGUUACACAGACGAUUGACAUUUAGAUAUAUUUAUUUCUUCACAUUGUCUCCUAAUAGGGUUUAAGUUCUGUUCUAUAUUUGUUGCUUUAUAGCUGCUUAAUAUUUUUAGGUCCCUUUACUCCUCACAUAUGGUAUUUGAGUACAUAUACAGCUUUAGCUUUAAAAAUUGUGGUUUGGGCUUUCCUACUGAAGGUCACAUCCAAAAGAAGUGCUCCUCAACUGUAAUAGAAUUUAAGUCUACUUAUAGUAACUUUGAAAUAGACCUUUGACAUGGUAACUUCAAAAUAAGGAGGGAUCUUCUUCUCAUUAUAUUUGAUCUUCAAUACAAUGACCCCAAAGAAAGGUUACGAAUCCCAUAUAAAGUAUUUGAGUUAGCUAACUAUCAGUCUAACAGGUUUACUGACAAAUAAAAAACUAUAUACCCUUGCUAUUUGGUAACCUGGGAAAUUAUUGAGAGUUCAUGCUUAUAAUCAGCAAACAAUUAUGAAAACUGUGUCAUAAUAGGCAACAAUUUAAAUUUAAACUGGCCUUAUACUUGGCCUAUUGGAAAUAUAAACCCACAUAAAUAAUACUUCGAAAUUACCAAUUUGGAAUAUGAUAUCUUUAGAGAUAAAUAAUGAUUUCAAUCAUAUCUUUAAAUUUAUAACUCAUUUUUUUUUAAUUUGUUGGAGAUCCUACACAUAUUAGCUUAUAAUCAAUAAAACUUUGCUCCUUCAACUACAUACAUUUUAAUAUGUAAUAAUACAAUUGUUUCUCUUUAAUACAGAACAGACAUCACAACUAACUAUUAUUUAGCAAUCUAUCUUCUCUUCAAAAGAAAUCUUUCCUUUAUUCCAAAAGCACUUUUGAAAGUGUGAGCUAACACCACAAUAAAUACCAAUCAUCUAAAGAAUCAAUCCUUACGAAAAAUAGUGUGUCUGUUCAGUACUACAAACACAUUUGUUAAUUGCAAUUACCACAAAAAAUUAUCAACUUUUUCGAAAUUUCUCCAUCUUACAAAACACUUCGAGAAAAUGUUUGAUAUUAUCUGGCAUUAAACUGUCAAGGAAGAAACUACCAAAUCUAAAACAAAAUUGACAUUUAUUUCUCUCAUACAACAAUACAAGACAUGAUUCCCAAAAAAACAUUGAAAAUUAGAAUGUAAUUAGAGAUGGAUUGAAGUUUCCAGACAUUAAUACCAAAACAAAGAAUUAGAAAUGUGUUCAUAGAUUUCACUACUUCUCUGAUAUAGAAAUACUGUGAUAUCAAAAUCAUUUAUAUAAUAUGGAUCCAUUCAAAAUAUGCUGGUCAUACCAUCUUUUGCAUUAGAAAUUCUUAUAUCUUGAAAUAUAUUACCACCAUUGAACUCAUAUCUAAUGAAUGAAGUAAAUUUGCAGGUGAUUUUUUAAGGUAUGAUAUAUGUUGAAAGGGGUAUCAUAUUUUCUCAAGGUAGUUGAUAGACUUCCUAGAAAUUGUCACAGGAAAAAUUUGGUUGAUUAUUUAGGGAAUGACUGAGGUGGCACUUAAUGAAAAUUUAUGGAUCUGCCACUGCAGGGCUCUAGUAGUUUAACUGUAAAUAUAAAUCUGCCACAAUAGAAAACGUAGGGAUCAGACACAGGGCUCGACUAGUAUAACUGUAUACCUGCCUCACUAGAAGUUUUAGGGAUCAGGUAUAGGGCUUCAGUAGUUAAACUGUAUACCUGCCUCAUUAGAAGUUUUAGGGAUCAGGUAUAGGGCUUCAGUAGUUAAACUGUAUACCUGCCUCAUUAGAAGUCUUAGUCAUCAGUUUAUCAUAUCUUGUCUGAUUUCUAUCAUUAACUACACAGAUCAGGUUGUAAACUGAGCAGACAUUAGUAUGGUAAAACAAUCAUAUCACCUCAAAAAUGACAAACUUUCCCAGCAUCAGCCGUAGUUAUCUCUGUUACAGUCAUGUGACUGUGAAUAAUGAUUUGUUACCCUCUAACAAGACAACAAACAUUUUGGUAAAACACUAAUAGGAUUCUGAUGGAAAUAUAACAAGGUUUGUUUAUGAUAUCUUGUUUAAUCUGCAUCAGUCAUAAGCUUGAAUCUGCUCUGUUCGUUUUCUUUUUAGAAAUUAAGGGAUUCAUUCACAUUUUAUUUUAAGAUUGUUUCGCCCAAAUCCCUUCUUUUAGGUGGAAUAAAUGUAUGUUGACACCCUCAGCAUGAUGUUUCUGAAUACCAAACAAGUGCAAAAAAUGUUGACUACAUAGAUAUUUGACAACUCAAUGAAUGAUUCUGACUUUCUGAUGAAGAGCAGCUAAAAAAGAGCUUCACAUUCAUUUGCUUUGAGUUUUGUUGUGCGCAUUUAGUUAUUUUACGUUUAAAAAAAAAACAGUUCUCUUUUUUAAGUUGAACAAAAUCCAGUUCUCUUUUUUAAGUUGAACAAACUGUUAACAACUUAACAUCAUGUCUCAAAAACAUAUCUUGGAAUUUUGUCUCAAGGGGAAAUUGAUAAUAUUCAGACAAUUAAUAUUUCAUAUUCAAAAAAGAAUUAUCAGGGAAAUAACCAGUCAAACUUGUACCAUUCUCAGACAAAACACGACAAAACAGAAAAACCCAUGGAGGAUCUCAAGUGGAUCAUGUAAAGCUAUAUCAUAUCAAUUAAUAAACAAAUUUCUAGACAUGCAUUCCGUACAAAUCAAUUUAUAUUGUGGAAUCAAAAAAAAGAAAUUUCAAUUAAUUGUCCAGACAAGUAUCAUUUAAAACACAUGACACAUUUUUUUUUUCUUUUUGUAAGGUCACCUGCUGCAAAAUGUUUCAUUCAGUGCAAUUCAAUACCAGUCUAGCUUUGUAGAAAGGCAUGCCUUGUAGAAAACUGAAGAAACAUGGCUAAUCUCAUACCAUAAAAUGAACUUUUAAUUUCCAACACAAAUAAUGCAGUUCAUUUCUUUCCAUUUAUUAAAAUAUCUUGUUGAUUUCAUAAAAUGUAGCAUGUUUUUUCUAAAAAAAAAUAUUAUUAUGAAUUAACUAUGACAAUUUUGCUUCAAAGGUAAACAUUCAACUGGAAUGGUUUUCUGAUGUUGUUGAUAAAGAUUUUUGUAAUAAUCAGACUAAGUAAGCUUGGAUAAAAUGCAAUUUUACACUAUAAAAGGGGUGGGCGGGAGCAGGUUACUAUAUCAUGGGUAGCAUCUUUAUAUAACAUGAAAGUUUAUGUGAUGUCAACCAGUGGGAUGUGAACGAGUAUGUAAUACGUUAAUUGUCACUGCAGAGGCCAGAUCUUGUGCAUGAAAGUUUUUUACAUGUAAAUAUUAUUACUGAUGUCAUGUUUGAUUAGAACUGAGAACCGCCUAUGACUUAACAGUACUUAUUCCUACUGCUAUAUUUGAUAUCACAUGUAUUUAUAAUUACCCCCUAACCCCGACCAUUAAGAUUUGGUUAUCUAAUGAGACUGAAAGAAUCUACCCCUAUACCAGGAACAUGCCAAGAUAGUCGUUUCACUGUCUGGGGCUAAAAUUCUAUGUCUGCGAGUUAAUUCUACAUUUAAUAUAAUAAAAGAAUGGUCCCUUGUUUUAUUGCACAACACUUUCUAAUAACUGCAUGUGUUUAUGGCGCUCUUCAUCUUAAUGUUACUUUUAUAUAACAUACAAAGAAAUGAAAAAGGAUGCCUACUGUUAUCACGGACGUAACUCAGAUUCUUAUUUCUUAUACUUCUUCAAAUUACAUAAUUAUUGCGACCCCAUCCUCGCUAAAUCUUAAUUCUAUAUAAUUGAGCAAGGAACAAUAUGCUUUCACUUGAUAUCAAAUCCUCGCCGUAAAAAAUAACGUAAAAAAUAACCGAUGUAGAAUUAAUAUUAAAUCUGGUUCAGUAGUACAACUCUGGAUAUUUCUUCAUUUAGCUACAUGAUAAAUUACUGAACUCUCGUAGAAGUCGAUCAGUGUUAAUUUAUCAAUCAGGAAAAAAUUACUUUAUCAGAUCUUGGAUUCGGUGAUACAACCAGAAAGGUCAGAAAACGUUAUGAAGAACAAUGUGAUUAUGGAAAAGUUAGAAAAUUUGAAAUCAAGUAUCACAGUUGUGUAAGUCCCAGAGGGAAUAAUACUUUCAUGCUUCUUUCCAUUUCUUUUUUAAACAAAGAAAAAAAAUACAAAAUGCAAAUGAGAAUACUAAACAUUUAUUUUUUCAUUAAUCAACAAUCUCAAAACAUGUCAUAAACCGUUACCAUAUCAACAAUCUCAAAACAUGUCAUAAACCGUUACCAUAUGAUACAGUCAUUUAAAGCAACAUAAAAUAGACACCAAAUCACCUUGUUUUUCUAAAAUUGUCAUCUAACAUUUUUUGGUGGAAUUAAGUUUAUAUUUUCUUUGUUUGCUCUCCAACUUUGUCAAGUUAGUUAUUAAGAUGAUAUCGUAAGGAUAUGUUACUGAUGAUUUAUUGGUAAAUAAGCUUGAAGCAAUGGGUUAUAGUUCUCAAUGCAGUGUUUCAUGGUUUGGGUGUUGUAAUAACAUUUGAUACAAACGUUAAAUUUCUCAGGAUCAUUGCAGAGCUUUUAAACUUUAUAGUGCAAGAUACUUAUACAUUGUUAAAGGUCAUACAGUGAUAUACAGUCAUGUUCAUUUUUGGAUCCUAUUUUUUCUCUCUAAGGUUGCUAAUUCUUUGAUGUGAAUACAAACACAACAAAUGUUCUUUUUUUUGUCAGUUUCAGUUCAUGUUUGAAGUAACCGUCACUUAAACAUUUUUACUUGGAGUAUAGAGUCACUUAAUUUACAAAGAUCUGAAAUAAAUGUCAGUUUGUUUUCAUUGCCAUCAAAAACUUGACAGCUUUAGAACCCUCAAUAUUAUGUAAUGCUCAAAUGUAGGUUUUUCCUUGAUGAUACUUUAGCUGAUUUCAUUGUAUCAUAAGUCAAUUGCAUGACUACUAUAACUCUGUCAUCAUUAUAUAAACAGUGUAGUCUAUUGAUUCUCUGUCCAAUACUAUUGCUUCAAGGAUAUGUCUUCCACAGACACUACAAUCAUCAAAAAUUCAAACAUAACUCAACAUUUUCUUAUUUUAUAGAUCCACAGAUUAAUAAUUUAGGUCUUUAGCUCGUAUCACAAUUUUAGUCAAACACAGUUUAAGUUUAGUCUUUUUGUAUAAGGAUUUUAAAAGAAAUUUCCUUCCAAUGAUCCAUUAAAAAAAUAUGUACCAUAUCCACAUAGCUAGCCUACCCUAUCCUUUUCUGCCAGAAGGAAUCAUACAAGUGUAUAACAUUUUUGGCCUUAUCACUGAUUUGAGAAACAAUGAUGGUACCUAUCUUUUUAUUUUUUAACAGUUUUUUAGUCAGUAUAAUUCACUAAGUGUCAUUUCAUUCAUUAGACUUGAUGUCUAACUGACAUUUUUUUAGCAUCUGAUUUAUACCCUCUAAGAGUACCAAAAAUCUCUUGACCAAAUCAUUUACUGUUGUAAUGUUUCAUUUAUCAUUUUUAAUUUAAGCAUGUUUAAUUCAACAUCAAUGUCUUAUCAUAAAUAAAUUUACAAGCUUUAAAAAUACUUCACUAGGUUACAAAAUGUCUGGUUAAUGACAGUUAGUACAGUAGCCUGGAAUAUAUGAUUCUCAUCAGAUAAAAUAUAUCAAUGCCAUGAGUUUAAAGAGCCAGUACAUGCACAAAUUCAAACUGUCUGAUUAUGUUACUAAGUAUUAUGUAAGAUUUUUUUCUUAAGUAGAAAAAAUAAAUUAUUUACUUCAAGAGGAGCAUAGUAAGUCAUUAUUUAUUUUUAUUUCCUAAAAAAACACCCUCUAAUUAUACCAACAUUGUAAAGGUAUUCACAAAGGUCAAAGCAUGAGGUAGAUCAAGACAGGGUGGCAAUCAUUACUGAUCAUUCCAAUGUAAUGGUAAAAUCAAUUACCCAUAAUGCUGUUGUACUUCCAGGUGUGAUGAACAGAUGGUCUGGUGCAAGAGACACCUAGGCAUGUCAAAUCAUAAUAAACACAUACAAAUCCUGUAAAACUAUCUAUUUUAUGUUGCACUUUUAUCACAACAAGAUGUUUAUAAAGUGUUGAUAAAGAUCUCAUGUGUCCAUUUUUUACUUUGCAACCUCUUUUGAUUUAUCACAAGGGCAGUGUAUCAUGUCUGAUAUCAGCCAGUAAUCUUUAUAAAGAUCUAUCAUAGUGACCCACAUCAGUACCUAGAAAUCAAUAGAUAAAACAAAUUUGAAAAGAAUUAUUAUAUUUUAGUAUCUGAUGUGUAUUGAAUACUGGAACUAGGGGCUCUAAAGAGCCUGUGUCGCUGACCUUAGUCUAUGUGAAUAUAACAAAGGACACAGAUGGAUUCAUGACAAAAUUGUGUUUUGGUGAUGGUGAUGUGUUUGUAGAUCUUACUUUACUAAACAUUCUUGCUGCUUACAAUUAUCUCUAUCUAUAAUGAACUUGGCCAAGUAGUUUCAGUGGCAAAUGUUAGUGAAAUUUAAAAAUUUUAUGAAAAUUGUUAAAAAUUGACUAUAAAGGGCAAUAACUCCUUAGGGGGUCAAUUAAACAUUUUGGUCUUGUUGACUUAUUGUUAGGUCUUACUUUGCUGUACAUUAUUGCUGUUUACAGUUUAUCUCUAUCUAUAAAAAUAUUCAAGAUAAUAACCAAAAACAGCAAAAUUUCCGUAAAAUUACCAAUUCAGGGGCAGCAACCUAACAUCUGAAAAUUUCAGGGCAGAUAGAUCUUGACCUGAUAAACAAUUUUACUCAAGUCAGAUUUGCUUUAAAUGCUUUGGUUUUUUAGUUAUAAGCCAAAAACUGCAUUUUAUCCCUAUGUUCUAUUUUUAGCCAUGGCGGCCAUCUUGGUUGGUUGGUCGGGUCACGCCACACAUUUUUUAAACUAGAUACCCCAAUGAUGAUUGUGGCCAAGUAUGGUUAAAUUUGGAGAAGAUUUUUGUAAAAGUUAACGACGCAGGACGCAACGGCGACGCCAGACGCCAAGUGAUGGGAAAAUUAAAUGGUGGACAAAAAAUUAUAAAGAAGGACGAAUCUGAUCAUUAAAUUUCCCCCCCACUAUCAAAUUUUAAUUGUACAACAGAGCUUAUUUCAUAUUUGUUUUAUUUUCCUAGCCAGUAAUAAAUGUAUUCUAUAUAUAAGUUGAUUUUGAAUUAAGAUCUUUGGUCCCCGACAGAGCAAGGACAUAGGCUCCAAUAAACACAGGAGAGGACAGCAUUUUUAACUUCAUUUGUUCACAUUGAAUUUCAUAAAGUGUGUAUGAAAGUACUUGUGUCUCUCUCAGAUUCUGAUGAAGGAAAUAAAAUUUAACUGUUUAACCUCACUGGUACACAUUAUUCUGCUGGUGUUCAAAAGCUCUAUAAGUCUCAGAAGAGAAAAGUCUGAUCAAAUUAAUACAAUGGCUGACCAAUCUGCAUUUUAGACUUAAAAGUUUUCUGUUAAAUUAACAUUGUUUUUAUUGAAUUAAAUGAACACAGUUUCCUUGCUUUAACUAAUUUACACUUGGUUGGAAUUAUUCAUAAGCCAUUGCUUCAAAAAGUGCAUGUAAGAUAUAUAUAAAUUAACUUGUUACAUAAACGUGUAAUAUAAAUGCAUCAAAUGGAGAAAAAUGUGCCGUAAAACAAAUAAUAUAAGUCCUUCUUUGAAGUGUUAAUAGAUAUAUAUCUGUCUCAUGAUUUUCCAUUAGGUUCACUUAGCCAAGUAAAUGGAAAUUCCCAAGUUUAUGAUAAAGAUACAUUUUUGUUGGAAAAUAGUUGCAGUUUUUUUUUUAAUCCUAAUCUAUAGAAAGCAUUAUAAUAGAAUUAGUUUAUGUUUUAUAAGUAAUAAAACAGUACAAAAGACUCCUAUAAAUCUAACAGAGAAUUGGUGUCCCACGUCUCUGAAGAAUCUUAAUUCCUCAUGUUACAGUUUUCUUCGAUGAUUUUCUUUGAUUAUCUUUCUCUUAAUUUGACCGAAGUAGAUAAAUCAAUGUAUAUUAACAUAUGUCAAUCAUGACGUCGGUUCAGAAUAUACUGUUUCCUAUCCCGACUGAUCCCAGAUAAUCCGUGCAUCUCAACACACGAAUAAUAUUGUCUUCAUUUCCAUACCAGACUAUACAAUAUAUUCAAACAGUCUUCAUUAAAACCAUCUUACUUAGUUAUUAGUACAUUUCUUAUUAAUAUAUAGAGGAGAAACUUAAAGGUCAUAUCAAAGGGAAAUAACUCCAAUAUACAUGUAUUCAUUUACAUUCAUAUCAAAUAUCCUAAGGUGUUUAGUAAAUUUGCUUGCUUAAAGUAGUGAAUGUCCUGAAAUCGACCUGAAAUAUCACUCUUUGUAGAAAGUGGCAUUAAAGUAAAGUCAUCAAUCAACCAGUCAAUAAUGAACCAAAAAACUGAGUUUGAGAUCAGGAUUCUUGGCCUUCAAAAAAAAUCUUACGACUAAAGUUGAUUGUAUUGAGUAUACUAACCAGAUGCUCCACAGGGGACAGCUUUAUACGACCGCAGAGGUCAAACCCUGAACAGUUGGGGCAAGUAUGGACACAACAUUUAAGCUCAAUACAGCUCUGAAUUUGGAUUGUGAUUAAAUAGUUGACACAACAUAGGUUUCUGACACAGAAUGAAUGUGGUCCAAGAACUUAAACUUAAAAACUUAAAAAUUUUAAAAUGGACAUUUACCUAUUAUGGUCCAAUAUCCAAAAUAUAAAGACAUGGUUAGAUUCAGCAUAUCAUAGAACCCCAAGAAUUCAAUUUUUGAUGAAAUCAAAUAAUGUUCAAUUUUAGACUCUAUAGACCUCAAUGUGGACCAAUUUGAUAACUAAUUUCAGGGCCCAAAUAUUAAAAAUCUAAAUACAUGGAUAGAUUCAGCAUAUUGAAGAACCUCAUAUAUCCAAUGUUUGUUGAAAUCAAACAAAGUUUAAUUUUUACCCUUUGGACCUUAAUGUAGACCAAUUUGAAAACAGGACAAUACUGUGCAAUUGAAUAUUUCUUGCUAUUGCGCAAUACUGUGCAAUUGAAAAUUUCUUGCUAUUUCGCAAUAUUAUGCAAUUAGAUAUUUCCUUGCUAUUGCGCAAUACUGUGCAAUUGAAGAUUUCGUGCUUUUGCACAAUGCUAUGCAAUAGAAGAUUUCUUGCUAUUGCGCAAUGCUGUGCAAUUGAAAAUUUCUUGCUAUUACACAAUACUGUGCAAUUGACGAUUUCUUGCUAUUUCGGAAUACUGUGCAAUUGAAAAUUUCUUGCUAUUGCCAAAUACUUAAUAUAAAAAUUUUGGACCCUGAUUUGGACCAUCUUGAAAACUGGGUCCAUAAUCAAAAAUCUAAGAACAUGUUUUGAUUCAGCAUAUCAAAGAACCCCAAGAAUUCAAUUUUUGUUAAGAUCAAGCUAAGUUUAAUUCUGGACCCUUUGGACCUUAAUGUAGACCAAUUUGAAAACAGGACCAAAAAUUAAGAAUCUGAAUACACGGUUAGAUUUGGCAUAUCAAAGAACACCAAUAAUUCAUUUUUUGAUGAAAUCAAACAAAGUUUAAUUUUGGCCCCUUUUGGCCCCUAAUUCCUUGGGACCAAAAAUCCCAAAAUCAUUCAAAACCUUCCUUUUGUGGUCAUAAACCUUGUGUUAAAAUUUCAUAGAUUUCUAUUAACUUAUACUAAAGUUAUUGUGCAAAAACCAAGAAAAAUGCUUAUUUGGGACCUGUUUUUGGCCCCUAAUUCCUAAACUGUUGGGACCAAAACACCCAAAAUCAAUCCCAACCUUCGUUUUAUGGUCAUAAACCUAGUGUUUGAAUUUCAUAGAUUUCUAUUUACUUUUACUUAAGUUAGAGUGCGAAAACCAAAUGUCUUCGGACGACAACGACCCCAACGUCAUACUAAUAUACGACCAAAAAAUUUUCAAUUUUUGCGGCCGUAUAAAAAGUUCAUGUAUGACUUACGAUGAACUUGAUUCUUAAUAUCUAUUGUGAAACAAGUAACAAAAUCUAUUUGGCCAAAGGUUUGUUACUGUAUACAAAUCUUAGUUAAUCCUAUCUAUCUUAUAAACGUUCUAUCACUCCAGAUACAAUAUUUUUUUUCAAUUACCUAAGUUCCCCGAGUUCUCUGCUGAAAACACCAUUGUCAUUAUUCUUCUUAGUCGAGACAAUUUUUUUCUUUCUUUCAAUUUUUAAAAUGUCAGAGAACUAGUAUAUUAUGUUAGAGACAGAUAAAUAAUAUUCAUUAUUACUAAAUACAACAGAACGAAGACGGAUAAAGGAAAUGUAGGAUGAGCUGGCGACAGUUUCUAAGGUUUCUCAACUCAAUUGCUAUUUUUUUUUAAUAUUUUAAAAUAGAAGCAGUCUGUAUGAAGAUAAUUACUUCUCUCAUGACAUGAUUACCGAAUUAAACGUGGAGUCUAAUCUGUAGUCAAGGUCUUACAAAAGAAAAAUUCUUACAUAGAUGCACUUAGUAAUAAGCUUGAGUUUGUUUAGGCUUUUUUAGGAGGUCUAAGUGUAGUUUUCUCAUCCUACGAUGGACAAUUUCAACCAUAAUUUCUGCCAUCCAGAUUUAUAUGUUAAAUUCAUCCUCUAAAUCUGGUAUCUUCGGAAACUAUUCAAAACAUACAUAUUAGUAUGCCUGAGUUCAAUUUAGUUGAAAAGAAACUCCUUAAAAUGAUUGGAAAUUACUGUCAAAUAAUUAAAUUAAAAAUCCUUUCGAAAGUUUUGUGAACUUGGCACUUUGGCUUAAAUUUACUAUAACAUAUCAUCUUUAAGAAGUUUGACGAAGCAUUAUACAAUUUUCAUUCAGUCAUCAAUUGUCAUGGCUGAUGAUCUCAAUAUUGCAUGAUAAAAUCACUGCUGAUGCCGGAAUCAGUAAAAUUCCUCCCGAUCUUCAAGUGCUAUGACUUAAUGUAAAUGAUCAUACAAACAACUCAAAGUACACUCUCUAUUAUUUUGUAAAUAUGUGUUCUGUUCUAAGACUAAUGACCAAACUGAAUAAUGCAUGAGUUGCAGCGAUAGCCUAACAUCAACCCUUCACAGAACGUCAGUGAAAUAUGCAAUUGAUUCCUAUUCCCCAUUAGGAACCUGUUAAUUUAAACAUCUGAAUGACCGAUAUCUAAAUCACUGGAAUGUUUGUAAUUACUUGUUGCCAAAAACAGACAUUAUCUGAAACAUAACAUUGUUAAUAUACCAAUAAGGAUCAUAGUACUGGUAUCAUGUACACCAAUAAUCGUUUAGGUACCAGUAUCAUACAGUGCAAGUGAUUGCUAUGUAGAAAUUGGAUGCUGUCGGAUUUUUCAUUAAAUUUUCUAAUUUCCAGGUCAAUAAUGUAGUUAAUGAAGGGUAACUGUUAGAUAAUGAUUGCUUAUUGGAUGCAAGUUUGCAUUUACACGUAAAUUCACAUAUAUACUUAUUUAAUAGGAAGAAACAGUAAUCGGUAUGCCUGCGUGAGUUUUAGACAAUGCUUUCCCAGCCAACAUUAAAAUAUGAAUCAUAGGAGAUCAUGCAAGCUUAGUUUAUGUAACUCAUGAUGAGUUAAAUUAAAUCUUCAAUUAUUCAAAUUAUAAACAACACAAUGAGCUUACACAAACCAAUUAAAGAGUAGGCGUCAAGUUACAUGUGACUUUCCAAGUCUGUGACAAAAGAGUGGUAAUAUUCAUAACAUACAUAGUUCAUGACAUUAAAUGAAAAUGUUAGACUUAAAAAAAUUUCAUCUUAAAUGAAGCACUAUUAUUGAAUUUUAUUUUUUAAAAAUGUUAAACUAAAUGAUAACUGUUAAUUUUUUCAAAAUUUCAACCUUUAAAAUUUUAAAAUGGAAUGCACACUUGUAUAUAAAUGUUAAAAUUUUCUGUCCAGACUUUCUAAAUCUGAAAGUUGUUUGUCCAUUUCAUACUGUUGACAUUCAUUUGACAUGUGGCAAAGAAGAUAUAGUCUGAUUUGAGUCUAUCAAGUAAUUCUUCUUUGGACCGUGAGAUGAUAAAAGGCACAAGACAUAAAAUCUGUACCUUUUGUACAUUAGAUAAAAGCCUGGGACACAAGAGAUCACUGUAAAUAUUAACAGGCCAUAUAGGGAGAAUGAGAUGAUAUCAGCAGCCAUCCUGUCCUACCUUUAUAGACAUACAAUCCCAUUAUGUAUUGAUGUGGACAGAGGGAGUCAUUAAAUCUAAAUUAAUAAGAUGUGAUCUUUAUGUCCAAUUUUUAAUAUGCUGUAAAUAUGUCACAAACCAUGAUGGCUUUCUUCCUCGAUAGCUUAAGGGAAGAAGCUGUCUGGAGCCAAAGACUUAUUUCCCAAGAUGCUCGUAAAAUAUAACAAUACAUAAACUCAAACAUAUUUACAUAAUGGUUUGGAUUAAAACAUUCAUGAUAGUAAGAUAUAACAAUAAGUCUCGAUCGAUCAGAUGCUUGUAACAGUCUGUUAGCUACAUGUAACAUCUCAGUAACUAGAUAGAAUAUAAGAGAAUGGAAACGGGGGAAUGUGUCAAAGAGACAACAACCCGACCAAAGAGCAGACAACAGCCCAAAAAUAUUAUACUUAGUAAAGAGUUAAACAAACCCCAACUCUUAAUGUCAUUGGAAAAUGAGAUCUUUAAUCAUCAAACAACUCUUUAUGCCAUGCAGAUGUUGAAUACUCCUUUAUGAUAGACUCAGGUUCAUAGAUUUGAUCACUUAAUUUACACUUUAACUUUGUUUAUUGUCAAAUGAGAUAUGAAAAAAUGAAAAAUUUACAAUAGUUUUUUUUUUUAAUUAAAACAACAUCACUUUAAAAUAAAACAAAAUGUUUUCUUUUUCUACUUUCUUUGUGCCAAUAAAAAUGAUAUAAGUUAUCAUUAGUGAAUACUUUGUAUUUUUCAUCUGAGUUUCAUUAUAAAUAUGUAAUUGUGGAAAUUGCUGUUUUUAUUUGAUGCUUUAUUGUAGCAAUGUGAAAUAAUUGGUUUGUUGAAACUGAUGUCUCACAGUGUUGCAAAACUAAAUCAUUAUCAUGUAGGAUUUAUGAAAAAAAAUCACAUCAUCAGUUAAAUACUUCAGAAAAUGCAAAAAAAAUAACGAAAAUCAACCCUCCCCUACACUAAGCGGGCAAUACUGUGUUUAAAAUAUGUUUUAAACCAUUUUCAAAGUUGAUUCAGCAAUGCUUGAUUUUCAACCAAACCAAUGUUUAUAGUUUAUGCUUCCUGCUACAUUACAGUUACAUUAUUAGUAUCACAGGAAAAGGGUUGCUCUUACAUUAGCUCUGAAAUAAACAUGUCCACUCUGCCAUCAGAGUUAUUCUGCUGGUAUUUACACAGAAAAAAAAAACAUGAUAUCCCUACAAAUAAUGAUUUCCCCUUACUCUAAAGAAACGUGAUAACUCAGCUCACAGAUUAAUAUUUUUUCAUCUUUACUCAACAGUUGAACAACGAGUCAUGUUAUUUAUGACAACACUUGAUCUAUUUACCGACUCGUCAUUGGGACAUAAAUCUAUUUCAGUUAAAUAGUUGCGGAUGCUAAACCAACAGAGAAUUUUAGAAAACAAACACUGCUUCCUUCCUUGCCGUUACACAAAUUUAUAGUUUAUAUGAUCGAUUCCAAUUAUAAAUAUGCUGUUACAGUAAACUAUUUCAUUAUUAUCGCAGAUAGUCUGACUUAAUUGUACUAAAGGUAAUUUCCACACCUCAUAAUUUUUAUCAUUUACACAAUCAUCUUCUAAAUUUGACCAAUUAUUUUAGAACAAAGUAUAAUUUUCUAGAAUUAGGAUAAGGAGGUGAUAUUUAUUGGGCUUAAUUAUUUACUAUAAUAUUGUUAUGACAUAGUCAAUAUUUUCAAAUAAAUAAUGAAGCAUUAAAAUAAAUGAUUAAAACUAAUUACCAUGCUAAUAUUGGGCAAUGAUGAUGGUGUUGAACACAAACUGUAACAAAUUAAAUAUCAUGUUGUGUAAUAGGAUUUGAGGCAGCUAUCAACCAAUGGCUGUGUUACAAAAAGUCAUUCAAGCUCAAUGUUAGGACAUAACAAUCAGAGCAGAGCUCAAAACUUCCAAAGGUUUGUGGUAUAUCAGGCUGCAUUGGAGUCAGAGAUAGACCUCCAUUAGUGGUUCACUAAGCACAUCAAAUUGAAACAAAAAUUACAUAUGACUUAUAUGUAAAUGCAACUUUUGUCUCAAUUUUGCCUCAAUAUAAAUCGAGAAAAUAUAAUUUUUCAUGUAAAACAAAUAAAAAAAUCUUUGGUUUAUAUUUUUACAAUUUUUUCAACAAUUUUGUAUCACUGAUGCUUCAAAUAAUCACUAUUAUCCUUUAUUUACUUUAUUAUGAUGCAAUACAUUGAAAAAAUUAAUAAUUUAGCGCUUUUAUUUUGACAUUUCAACAAAGCUAAAUUUUAAUGGCAAUCUCUGUAAAUUACAAUGUAUACUUUAUAAGCGGAAUGGAAAAUAUAAGUUGAACAAACAAGUAUAACGUGACACUACCAUAUCGUUAGUCACACACAAUGUUUCCGCAAACAGAGACAAUCUAGAUGUUAAAAGUUUGUAAACAUCAAUUUAAGGACGGUAUCAGUUGCAUCAAUAGUAGAUAUAAAUCGUUAUUUGUACUCAUCAUACAUGCAUUAAAUGGCUUAACGGACACAUCAGCGACUCUAUUAUAACUGAUGUGACAGGUAUUAUGGUAUAUUAUACUGUUUUAACCCAGGAAGGACCAAAGUAACACAAUUUAUUUGCACCAGUAAUAGCAAACAUCCACAAGGGCAAUGAUAUAAAAUGUUUCAUUGUUUUUAGAGUACAUUUGUUUGGUCUGAAAUUCUUUUUGCUGCAAUGGGUGUAAAACUUAUAGAGAAAAUGUUUAUUUGUAAUUUCCAACUAUUGUCUUGUUUGUUUGUUGCUUCAGCUAUAUUUUUUUUUACCUGGCUAGUUUUUUUCCUUACAAUUUGAGAAGUUUUAGAUGUUGACUAGAGAAGUUUUACAUAAAAAGUUUACUUCCUAAGAAUGACAAAGACCAGUAUACCACCAAUUCCACAAGAUUCACACACACAAACAUCAGGCAAUAUGUUGUCAAAACAGCAAAAGUCUUAUCUGUGGCACUUAUAUAAUCAUUUCUUUUUGUGUUUUUCAGUAAGAUUUGGAGUAUGGAAAGAGCUACCUCGAACAUCACAUGAAGCUGAGCGAAAAGGCUACACUAGAGUUAAUGAUAUCUGCAAAAGUGAGUAAAAGGAACUUAACUCUUACAUAGUGUUUAGCAGAAUUUAAUC